Molecule: long non-coding RNA, 74504 nt
Filed under: Malus domestica (apple)
Lineage: Eukaryota; Viridiplantae; Streptophyta; Magnoliopsida; Rosales; Rosaceae
Description: long non-coding RNA (MDOM_LNC011384)
Source: RNAcentral
UAAAAAUUGACGUGCAUGCGGCCAUCACAGACACUGUUUAUGAAAGUGAACAAUACUACACUGUUUAAGAAACUUAACGGUACUACACUAGUUAUGAAAUUGAACGGUACUAUACUAUUUAUGAAACUGAACACUAUUUAUGAAACUGACCGAUACUACACUAUUUAUGAAACUAAACAGUAUUACAUUAUUUAUUGGUCCAGAUUCAUAAAUAGUGCAUAGUUCUUGGUUCACUUUCAUAAAUAGUGCCUAGUUAUCGGGUUCUAUUUCAAAAAUAGUAUAUAGUAGUUGGUAUAGUUUCUUAAAUAGUGUCUCAUUCUUGAUCCAAUUUCAUAAAUAGUGUCUAGUUCUUGGUCCACUUUCAUGUAUAGUUCCUAGUUCUUGGUCCACUUUCAUAUAUAGUGUAUAGAUCUUGGUCAUGCUUCAUAAAUAGUGUCUAGUUAUUGGUCCAGUUUCAUAAAUAAUGUAUAGUAAUUGGUACAGUUUCAUAAAUAAUGUAUCUUUCUUGGUCUAGUUUUAUAAAUAAUCUCUUGAUCUUUUUUUUUUUUUGUUUAGUUUUAGAAAUAGUACCUUCUCCGGUUUCUCUGCAUCCCUUGAGCAACAAUCACCUUCAUGAUGGUGAUGAUGCCUAUGACGCUCUUUAUGAGAUACUCAGUUGUUCCUCUCUUCUUUUCCACUUUCUCAUCAUGAGAUACCCAAAUCAAACCUAACCCUUGCUACAGCUUUGUAAUUCACAUAGAAAUCAAUCUCAACCCAACAACCAUCACAGCUUCUUGGUCGGUAUCAACAGUACAACUCCUGCUCACUGGAGAAUUGAAUUUUCUCUGAAUCUCUUCAAUUUCUUAGCUUUCUACACCACACUUAAUUUUCUUCCAUCAUCACUUUACAAAACAAGAACUAAAAAAUGUACCAUAUGAUAUGACUGACUUGCUCAGUCACUAUAUGCUUUUUGCGUUCGUUUUCAAACUGGCUGUAAUUUCCUUUCUCCUUGAAUAGGUGGAUGUUGUGGUGUUUGUAGUAGUCCUUGAAUAGUUGGAGUUGGACGUUGUGGUGUUAGGAUCAGCAAUCAAUAUAAAAAGCUAAAAAUUAAUCUUUAUAAUCAAGGUUUUUAUCACAUGUAGUCCCUUAAAUUGACCCAUACGAUAAAAAUAGUCCCUGAAAAUAAAACUCGAUAAAUGUAGUCCUUGAAUAUGGGUAGCAAAUCAAGUUGGUCACUCCAUUAGAGCAACUCCAGCGUGAGGAAGGCCCCCUAGGGCAACUUACUAUUGAAUCCCCCCAGUGAACAGUAACUACCUUUUACAUCUCCACCCCUAAACUGAACAGCCAUGGCAAUAGGCAAUAAAAUAUCUGUAUUUUUUAUUUUAUAAAAUAAUAAAAAAUAAUUUUUUUUUGUAAUUUCUAAUAGGAUUUUAAUCGGUCUCAUUGUACCACGUGUCAUUAAAUAAGAAAUUACAACUCAAAGUAUUUGAGAAAAUAUAAAAUUAUGGUGUAAGUUGGAAGAUACUAAUAACAUAUUUAUAGAAAAAUUAAAUCAAAUUUUUUUAAAUUUAAAAAAAAAAUUCGGAUUUUUUAUUAAUUUUUUACAUUUUUAAAAUUAAUUUUUUACUUUUUUUAAUUAAUUUUUUUACAUUUUUUAAUUAAUUAUUUACAUUAUUUUAAUUAAUUUUUUACUUUUUUAUUAAUUUUAUAACGUGGUUGACGUUAGCCUUGCAUCAGCUGGCUUUUAGGCUCUCGAGCUGUGGAUUCCCGCCUGGCCUGUCCACUGGGCCUCCCCCGAGCCCAAUCGCCCGCAUAGGCUGGAGCAAGGGAGGGAGGCUAUUGGGUUUUUUGGGUUGCCUAUCCACUGGGCUAUAGCCUUCGGUGGAGUUGCUCUUACUAUUCUGUCAAAAUUUUCUGUUAAUGUGUUAAUGUAGUACACAUAUAGGUCCCACAUGUUCAUUAAGUACUGCCACGUAGGGUGGAAUUUUUUGCCAAAUUGCCAUACCAACCGUACUAUACCAAAGUUGUGCCAAAAAAUUUGUACCAUUGGUAAUGGUACGAUAUUUGUACCGUACCAUACAUGUUCGGUACGGUAAUGGUAUUCAAAACUAUUACCAGUGGUAUACUGUACCGUACCACUACUAUUAAUAUUAUAUCAUUUAUUUAUUCAUUUAUAUAUAUAAUUAGGUAUUAUUAUCAUUAUAUAUGCACUUUAUAUUUUUUUCCUAGUCAUGUAUCCAAUCAUCUCACUCUCUAACCUCUACUUUCCCAAUAAAAAACACCUAAGCUUGCGCUGCAACUCUUCAUCUUUUCACUCAUCUAGCCAUCGGCUUCAUCUCUGUUGCUCCCAUUCCAGCGACUCUCUCUCUCUCUCUUCGUAGUCCAUCUCAUCUUCUCCUUCAUCAAAUUGGGAUGUCUUUCUCCUUGGUUUUGUCUAACAAGUUAAUUUUUGCACAAUUUUAAAGAAUGUAGAGAUGGAAUUUAGGAAUCUUUGUACUAUUUUUUUAGGAAUGUUGGGUUCUUUCAACAAUUCUUCCAUCUAAUUACUUUUUGUUUCUUAAAUGAAUCUCUAUAAAAUUCUCAUAAUUAUAUAAAAAAGUUUUAGAAAGCCAAAGAGAGUGACCAAAACACGUUUGGGCCUUGAAUUGAGUUGAAAAAAAAAAUCAAAUUUUGGCCCAAAAUAAAAUAGUAAUUAUCAUUACCAUACCAUUCCAUCUGAACUAUUUGACAUGCCGAAAUUUGGUAUACCAAAAGUUUGGCACGAUAAUGGUAAUAGAUUUUGGCAUACCAAAAACUUGGUAUGGUAAUUGGUACAUGGGCUUUGGUACCAAUACCACCCCUCCUACCACGUACACUGAAAAAUAAAAAAAUUAACUAUAAAAAUGAUAACAAUACAUAAAAAAAAUUAACAAUAAUUAUGUGGGAGGAUAAAAUCCGGUUUCGACUCAUGGGCCAAUACCAAUCAUCCUAAGGAGAAAGUGUUGUGCAAGGUAAAAAGCUCACAAGAAAUAUACGGAUGCAAGGGAACGUGCCUAGAUAACUACCCCACUACGAAGGAGAAGUGGGAAAGGGCGACAGGUCGUGGCACUUAUUCCCAAAGCAUGCAGUCAUAUGACGGAUGACCACUAAGGAAGUCGGAAAGGAGGACUGGUCGUGGUGCUUGAUCCUCAAGCAUGCAAUCCUAUAAAUAGGGAGAUGAGCCAAAGAACAAGAGACGUGAAGGGAACCCGAGAGAAUCCUAAGAAUAGAAACCAAUCAACUGACUUGAGGGUCGGAGUAUCUUUUGCAGGUACCCACCCAGGCAAGCUGCGGAGGAAGAUUAUUUUGGGACACCUCGAAGAACGAUUCGGCAAACGUGAUGAUUGCUGUCCACAAGUCUGUGGAGGUAUUUCUUCUCGUAGAAAAUCUCGCUCCAACAAAUUAUAACAUGAAAAAAAAAAAGAAUAAAGACAUGAUUGAUUCGAUUGCGGAACCAUCAUGAUAAUCAGGACAUGGGCCUCUUUGCAAAGUUUCUUGUUCUUGCUAUGUUUUUUUUUUUGUUUUUGGUUUUUUUUCUCCUCUCUUGUUCUUGCUAUUAAACAAAGUUAGUAGAUGAGUUUUUUUUUUUGUUAAAAUCUAAAGUUUUAAAGUCAUUUACAUUAGUUUUUCUAAAUAAAUAACCCUGCUCCUGGUGAGCAAAUAAAAGUUAAAAUAAAUAGAAGGAACUUUAGAAACGGGGUGGAAAAAUAAAUUCUUCUUAUAAAUAAAAAUCUUUGAAUUCUUUAAAAGGCUAAAUAAAUAAAGGCAUAAAAUUUCUAUUCUUUCAUCUAUCUCAUCCCAUCUACCAUUUCGAUUGUUUAGUUCGUAAACCUGUACAACAAUAGAGGGAUGAGCUUCAAUAGCUCAGUGGGGACAUAAUCUUAUCACAUUUGAUAACAAUAUUAAAUUAAGUGUCAUAGCAUCGUAUAAUCAAGUAUCAAGUCAUCAUUAAUAACAUCUUCGUCUAUACCUGCUAAUCUGUAAAAGUCUACUGUGUUUCCUCUACCUAGACUUCAAGCUUAGCUUUUACUUUCUCACCAUGUCCAAACGUUGUACACCAAACUCUUGAGCAAUUGUUUCAAAAAAAAAAAAACUCUUGAGCUGAUUUCAAGGCUUUGAUUUUUUUCCCUUUGAGUCAGAACUGAUUUCAUUCUAAUUUUUUUAUGUUUCUCUAACUCUUAUGCAUGAGUGCUAGCAUUUUAGAAUCGGAACUAACAGUUAGAGACUGAGACAUCCAAAGAUACUAACUUGAUUUUUCAAGGCCUUCUGUUUAGCUCUGUUGUUCUCGUCUCCUCCUCUGUUGAGACUGAGACAUCCAAAGAUAAUAAGAAAGGUUAAUUAAUUAUUAAUUAGUGCAUGCAGUUUUCUUUAUGUAUGCUAGCUAGUUAAAUAUUAGUUUACGCUUUGGUAGAUAAGGCCAUUUCCAACCGAAUGCUGACCAGAUGACUCGUUUUAGCCAUCUGGCCAUCCAAGAAAUUAAUAUUUUAAUGAACAGUACAUGGCCAUAUUUGUCUCCAUCUCCAACCGAGAGCCAAAGGGCCAUAUGACUCGUUUUAGCCCUAUCACAAAAAACCGUCUCCAACUAAGGAUCAAAGGGUCAUAGGGCCAAACAUAAUUUAUUAUUUAAAAACUAUAACUUAAAUUCAAAUCCAACGGCUAAGUGACGUCAGCUAGCCGUUGGAUUUGAAUUUUUUUUUUGCUAUAAAUGGGAUAGAUGUUGGGUUAUAAUUCACACAACUUUGAAUUCAAUCUAUUUCAAUUCAAAUUUGCAAUGAAUUCCAACUUUGGAUCCUCUUCGGAUUCUAACUGGGGGUCCUCAUCCAAUUCCAAAUUGGAAGAAAAAUGGGCGCAAAUGAGACGAGAAAAUAAGAAGUCUGAUGAAGAAGUUCAAGUAAGGCGCAACAAACAAAACAGAGCAGCAGCCAUGGCUGCGGCCAUGGUGUGUCAGCCAACUGAGGAACAACUUCAAUGGGGUGGUUUUGUUGCUGGUCGCUCUUACAAACCACGAAACAGAGCAAUGAAGCAUGCUAAUCUGAUGAACAACUACUUCAACCCCAACUCAGUGUACACAGAAGAGGAUUUCAGACGUCGCUUCCGGAUGAGGCAUCAUGACUUCGAGCAUAUACUUCGUGAUGUCUAGCAGGUCAAUCCAUACUUUCGACAGAAGCGGGACUAAGGACGCCCUGGUUUCUCACCUCAUCAAAAGAUUACUGUUGCACUUUGAAUGAUGGCAUAUGGCUCCCCAGCUGAUUCGAUGGAUGAAACCCAUGGCAUGUCUGAGUCUACAUGCCUUGAUACUCUUGAACAAUUAUGUAACACAAUUGUUCAUGUUUACAAAGACGAGUACCUCCGUAAGCCAAAUCAAGAAGAUCUGAAUCGGCUUAUUCGCAAAGAUGAAGACCGUGGGUUUCCGAUCAUGAUAGGGUCAUUAGACUGCAUGCAUUGGGAUUGGAAAAAUUGUCCCACCGGAUGGCAAUGAGGCUUAUGCGGAAGGUCGAGAAAGCCAACUGUUGUGUUAGAGGAGUUUGCCUCAUAUGACACAUGGAUCUGGCAUGCUUUAUUUGGAGUCCUUGGAUCCCAAAAUGACAUUACAGUUCUUGAGCGUUCACCCAUCUUCAAUUGCCUGAAUGAAGGUAAAACACCUCAACUUGACUACUCCAUCAAUGACCGUCAAUAAAAUAUGGGGUAUCACUUGGCAGAUGGCAUCUACCCAAAGUGGGCGACAUUUGUCCAAGCAAUUCCAAACCCUAAGAAUGACGCGGAAAAUUUGUUUACCUUACACCAAGAGGCAUACCGGAAAGAUGUUGAGAGAGCUUUCAGUAUUCUAUAAACACGGUGGAAGAUCAUCAGCGAACUGGCAAGAUGGUGGAGUCAAGAAAAUUUGGACUCCAUCAUGAUGUCUUGCAUCAUAUUACACAAUAUGAUAGUGGAUAAUGAGCAAGAUGGGUAUAUUGAUGGAAAGUCCGAUGAUGACAAAGAAGAUCCAAAUAGGUCAAGAAGGGCUCGUGCAAAAAUAUAUGAUGGGCCAAAUUUGCCUUUCAAUCCAAGAACUGGUAGUAUCUCUAUAAAUGAGUACAUGAGGCGCUAUAGAAUGAUACGUUCUCGCACCACAAACAAGUACCUACAACAGGAUCUUGUUGCACAUCUUUGGGCCAAAAAUAGCUUGGAGUAGGCGUUUAAGUUUUAUGUUGUAUAAUUUUUAUGUUGGUUAAUGUUAUUUAAUGUUGUUUCAUAUUGUUUAAUGUUGUUUCAUGUUACUUAAUUUAAUUUAAUGUUGUAUAAUGGCUUAGGAAGUUAUAGGAAAAAAAUAGAAUUUAAAAAAUAUAUGAAACAAAUUUUGUAAAAUAGAAGUUAUAGGAAAAAAAAUAGAAUUUAAAAAAAAUAUGAAACCAAUUUUGUAAAAUAGAAGUUAUAGGAAAACAAUAUAAAACAAAUUUUGUAAAAUAGAAGUUAUAGAACAAAAAUAGAAGUUAUAGGAAAAAAAUUGUGUAAAAUAAAAUAAAAUUGUAAAAAAAUAAAAUAAAAUAACGGCUAGCUGACGUCAGCUAGCCGUUGCAUUUGAAAUUUGGCUUAGAAUUCCUGUCGGAUAUAACCGAGAGGAAUGCUAGAUUUAAUGACUGGCUGGCUGGAUUGGGUCAGCCGGUUGGCCCUUUGGCCUUUUCAGAUUUCAUGGGGCCCACGAGCCCUCUGGCCUAGCAGUUGGUUAGAGAAGGUUUUCGGGCUAUUUUCGACCUUCUGGCCCUCUGGACCCUUAGGUUGGAGAUGGCCUAAGGUCUUUUUUUUUUUUCUACCCACUAUGUGUCUCAAUUUUAAACAAUUGCGCAUCAUCAAUAUAGUUACACUUUUACACAUUCGACGUACCUAUGCACCCAUUACAUAUGUACAAUCGACCAAACCACAUGUAUGUACUCGAUUAUUAAAUUUGUCAUAGAGUACAAGAAUUUGAAUUUGCUUUCACUAAGUUCGUCAUAGUGUCACAAUUCGUAAUUAAUAUUGAUAAAUUAUCAACGUCAUUAAUAUUUUCUACUAUCUAAAAUGAUUUGGUUGUCUCCAUAAUUUUUUAACCGUGCACCCUUUUAAAUCCGCCCCUCCCCUCACCAAUUCCUGGCGUCAUAGUGUCACUGAAAUGUGGUGUGUUGUGGAAGAUGAUGGCUGGGUAUUUAUAAGAAAAAUUAUAAUUCUUUAUAUUUUUCUGAUUUUUUUAAAAAUAAUUUAUCUCAAACUUAAUUAAUAUGGACUGUUGGAUUACAUUUUUUUUUUGCAAUCCAACAACCCUGGUUUUGUCACAUCACCAAAUGGUAACUUUAAUUUUUUUUCUAGAUUUUUUUAUUUUAUUUUAUAAGUUGUAAGACCAUGACUAUUCAUUACAAACCUAACAUCCUAGAUUUGAACAUGUGGCCCAGCUGUUUCAAUUUUUUUUACUGUUGGGAAUCCUACGGCCCAGAAAUAUAGUAGUUGGAAAUCCAACGGUUGAGAAAAACCCGCAUCACCCCCUUUUAGAAGAGUCCGAGUGUGCUUGCAAGUGGGCCCCGCCACCUGCCUUUGGUCAGCUCACUCGCCAUGUUUCGUGGGUUAAAAUCAUGGGCCUGAAGCAAAAAAAAAUUAAUAACGUGGAUGAUGUUACAUAUCAUCGUAUAAUCAAGUAUCAAGUCAUCAUUAAGGGAAAUGGGUCCUCUCCGGAUCCCUUCGUCAUAAUCCACCAAGCCCGAGAAUCCGGGCAUUGAAAUUUGAUCCAACUGGUAAAGUUAUUAUAACUUUUAAAGUGGGCCCCUUUUUGUAGCCGUUGGAUCAAAUUUCAAUGACCCGGAUCCCCGACCUUGGUGGAUUGGGAGGAAGGGAUUCAGAGAGUAUCCCUUUCCAUCAUUAAUAACAAGGUAGAGUGCAGUGCAAAAUCUUUGUCUAUACCCGUUAAUCCAUAAAAGUCUACCAUAUUUCCCCUACCUAGAUUCCGACCUUAGCUUUUACUUUCUCACCAUGUCCAAAAGUUGUGCACCAAACUCUUGAGCAAUUUAUAGGUUAGCACCUUACGUGCUCUAAUUCCCCACUUUGUUCCUUUUCUUUGUGUAGAGUCCAGCAUAUGGCACUUAAAACAUGUGGCAAGGCAAGUGCAUCUCAAGUGUUCUCGAGGUGGCUGGCAAAUUGAUCACUCUUGGCUAAUUCCAACACUUGUGGCUGCCAUGUGUCAUUGACACAUUGGUCCAACAUGAAAAUACCUUAAAAAUUCAUUCAAGUUCCGAAAGGUACUCUAAACUCGUAAUGACAUCCACAAUCUUUCCAUGAAUACAUUCUCAAUAAAUAAUCUAAACAUAUUUUUCCAAAUAUUUCUCUUAUUUGAUAAUAAAUUCUUGAGAUCUCACAAUCCAUCCUCCUUAAAAUAAAUAUCGUCCCACGAGGUUUACAUUAACACUCGAUUACUUGACAAGUCCAGAGUUUUCACCUUUGAUCAGACUCUAAUUUUCAUGUCAAUCCAUUGUUGCAUGUACAGUAAGUAUUCAUAUAAUUCUCCAAGUUGAGUUUGAAAUCUUAAGUGAUUGAUUACGCGUAUUUAUAUCUAGUACUUAGUCCAACACACAUAAAUCCCAAGAAAAUUGUGGGUACCUUUGCACAUUUUUCUUAGUAUGAUGUCUUUCGUAUUCCACUAAUUCUUAUUCCAUAAACCAUGAACAUUCCACCAUCGAGUAUCAAAGAUCCAAUGGCUAGUCAGUCCCUUAACUGUAGUGAAUGACAAUAAUUACAUGAAGGGGUGUGAUAUCCACAUACCCCUUUUUAAUUCUCCCACACCUUUUUGGUUUUCGACCGUCGGAUCGGAUGAAUUGAAGAAUAUCACCAGACAAAAAUUAACAAAGGGUGUGUGAGAAGUAAAAAGGGGCGUGUAGAUAGCACACCCCUUGCAUGAAUAAGAAAAGAAACAAAUUUCGGAUACUUUUUAGUCAUUACAAUACAAGUAAAAUCUACUAAGUAGUGAACUAUUUAACAAAUGUAGGUGGAUAUCUAAAUGUCAGAUACCUGUUCCCCAAGGGCGAAGCUACAUAGGGGCAGGGAGGGGCGGUCGCCCGUCCCCUAGCCUGAAAUCAAGGCCAGGAGCGGUGAUUCCGCCCCUUUGGUCCCGUCGGAAGUGAGCAACCGUUUGGUUCUCUGGUUUUUGGUGCUCUGCAGCAGAGCCAAAUGAUGCUGUGUUUCUGUUUUCAAUUUUCAAACCCAGGCCAAACGACGUUGUUUGGGACCUGGGCAAAGAAAUUUAUUUUUAAGUAGAACGGUGCGUUUAGGUUCUAUUAAAAAACUGAUAGCAUGAGACCAUGCUUUAUGAGAAAUUUUAUUUAAACUCAUAUAACAUAUUUUUACACCCAACUUACUCUUUGCACCAUUUGAUUUUUAACUAAACUAUUAAGAUCUCUUUAAACCCAAAUUUGAUACCUAAUAUACCCCCAUAAACCCAAUUCAAUAUGUGAAUUUAUUUUUACACCCAUUUGAUUUUUAGAAGCUAAAUUUGAUGUGUUUAGACCUAAGUUCUUUGCAUGGUUUUCCACAACACAAAAGCUGAUAAUUCAAUUGUUGAAAGAUGUCAAGAAAGGCAGUGAAAGGAUAAAGUGGAUGGACAGAGAACCUUAUGCAUACUGGAAAGGGAACCCUUUUGUUGUUGAUACGAGGAAAGACUUAACUCAAAAAUGCAAUGUCUCAGAGACACAAGACUGGAAUGCUCGCCUAUUCAUCCAGGUACCGUUAAAGAUAAAAACUAAUUUCGUUUAAACCAAUGGCAUAUGUUAUCAACAACAUUAACUUUUGAUUGAAAACCCAAUUAGCCAAUAAAUCUACAAACUAAUUAGGUAUAAUUUCAGGAUUGGAUUCUUGAAUCUCAACAAGGCUUCAAGCAAUCAAAUGUAGCAGACCAAUGCACACACAUGUAUUUCUUGUAGACAUAUAAAUAAAAUUCUCUUAUUUGGUAAUUAAAUUUCACUUUAAUUGUCAUUCCGUUUUAUCAUGAUUUAUGCAGGUACAAGAUCUAUAUUGAGGGUUAUGCAUGGUCUGUGAGCAAGAAGUACAUUCUAGCAUGUGAUUCAGUAACAUUGCUGGUAAAACCGAAGUACUAUGAUUUCUUCACAAGAGGUUUGCAACCAGUGCACCAUUACUGCCCUAGAAGGCAUGAAAACAAAUGUAGAUCCAUUAAGUUUGCUGUGGAUUGGGGCAACAACCACAAACAAAAGGUGACUCCUCUUUCUAAUUAACUUUCCAUUUUUUCGUAAUUUAUGGUAUUGUCCUUUUUAAACUCUGAGCAGAGCUAUUUGUGCCACAUUUAUAGAGGUGCGGUCAACAAUGUGAUCCCCCUAGCAUUACUCUGGAAGUUUAUACUCUACGGUUUUUGUUACUUACGGAUUUUGGAACAGGCACAAGCAAUUGGAAAAGCAGCAAGCGACUUCAUUCAGGAGGAGCUAAAGAUGGACUAUGUGUAUGACUUCAUGUUUCAUUUGUUCAAUGAAUAUGCUAAACUCUUAAGAUUUGAGCCACGAAUAUCCAAAGGCGCUACACAUUUGUGCUCGGAGAGUAUGGCUUGUCCUGCAGAUGAGUCGCCUAAGAAGUCUAUGACCGAAUCAUUGGUUAAGAGUCCAUCACCAAUAGACCCUUGCACCAUGCCUCCUCCCUAUGAACCCCGAGCUCUUGCAAAGUUGUACAGGAGGAAUAUUAAUCAAUUACACAAGUGCAACAGUGGGAAGAUAAAUUUGAUCGUAGGGUUUAAUUAUAAUGUUUGGGUUUAUUGUUAAAUUUAAGUUUUAUUAUUAAUUUCAUUUUGUACUUAAUAUUAAUUAUGCAAUAGGGUAACAUAGACAAUUAACAAUUACAAUUUUAAGUUGGGUGUAAAAAGAGAUUGAAUGGGUUUAAAUAAAAUUUCCCAUGCUUUAUUUGUCGUUUAGUAGCAUGUGAUCGUCGGAGACUUAUCAUUAACAAUUAAGAUCCUUCUAGUCUUCUUUCUCGUGGGAUUUUUUAAAGAUUUCAAGGCCAAAACUUUCCUAAUAAUUUCGAUAUGGAAUAGGAGCUGAUUUCAAGGCUUUGAUUUUUCCUUUUGAGUCGGAAUUGAUUUCAUUCUAAAUUUUUUUUAUGAUUGUCUAUCUCUUAUGCAUGAGUGCUAGCAUUUAGAAUUGGAACUGACAGUUAGCACAAGAGUUAGAGAAUUAUGAAAGGUUUCAAAGCUUUAAUUUUUCAAGGUCUUCUGUUUGGCUCUAUUGUUCUCGUCUCCUCCUCUGUUGAAACUGAGACAUCCCAAGAUAAUAAGAAAGGUUAAUUAAUUAUUAAUUAGUGCAUGCAGUCUUUUUUUCUUUAUAUAUGCUAGCUAGUUAAAUAUUAGUCUACGCUGUGGUAGAUAAGGUCCUUUUUUUUCAACCCACUAUGUGUCUCAAUUUUAAACAAUUGCGCAUUAUCAAUAUGGUUACACUUUUACACAUUCGACAUACCUAUGCACCCAUUACACAGUCGACCAAACCACAUGUAUGUACUUGAUUAUUAAGUUCGUCAUAGAGUACAAGAAUUUGAAUUUGUUUUCACUAAGUUCGUCAUAGUGUCACAGUUUGUAAUUAAUAUUGAUAAACUAUGAACGUCAUUAAUAUUUUCUACUAUCUAAAAUGAUUUGGUUGUCUCCAUAAUUUUUUAACCUUGCACCCUUUUAAAUCCGCCCUUCCCUUCGCCAAUUCUUGGCGUCAUAGUGUCACUAAAAUGUGGUGUGCUGUGGAAGAUGAUGGUUGGGUAUUUAUAAGAAAAAAAUAUAUAAUUCUUUAUAUUUUUCUGAAUUUUUUAAAAAUAAUUUAUCUCAAACUUAAUUAAUAUGGACCUUUGGAUUACGUUUUUUUUUUUGCAAUCCAACAACCCUGAUUUUGUCACAUCACCCAACAGUAACUUUAAUUUUUUUUUCCAGAUUUUUUAUUUUAUUUAUAAGUUGGAAGACCAGGACCGUUCAUUAGAGCAACUCCAGCAUUGCAAAGGCCCCUAGGGCUACUCACUAUUGAAUCCACCUAGUGAACAAUAACUGCAUUUUGCAUCUCCACCCCUAAACUGAAUAGCCAUGACAAUAGGUAAUAAAAUAUUAGUAUUUUUUAUUUUAUAAAAUAAUACAAAAUAAUUUUAUUUGUAAUUUUGAAUAAGAUUUUUAAUCAUUCUCGUUGCGUCACGUGUUAUUAUCCGAAAAGACAAUUAUUGGUGAUAGAUUUCGAUAAGAUUUUUAUCCAAUGCCGUCGUGCCACGUCGCGCCACAUGUCAUAAUUUGUUUACAAUCUUUAACCAAUCACGUCGCGCCACAUGUCAUAAUCUGCUUACAAUCUUUGAGGAUAGAUUUCGAUCAGAUUUUUAAUGAAUGACGGCAUGCCGCGUGGCAUUAUCUACAACCUAAUCCUUUCUUUUUCCUCCAUAUAACCCACCAUCCAUCCUAAGAAAUCACAUACCAAAAUCAAAAUCAAAAUCUCUAUCAUUAUUCAUAGUUUAUGCUUCCUUCUUACAAUGUCUUAUUCUUCAAGAAUGUUGUGGGAAAUCGAGGAGCAAGAGAAAAAAUUGUUUAAGCAAGGGGAAUAAAUGUUCAAUCUCCAAGUGGCCCAAAAUGAGAUGGAAGAGGAUGAGGAUGAGGAUGAGGAGUGUAGAAUGAGAGAUGAUGAAGCAAGAAGCCAAAGAGCCUCACAUUCCCAUUGAGUCAUUCAAGUUGGGGCUCAUAUCUGCAGGCCAAGCCAUUCCUGUAUUGAGUCCAUCAAGUUUUUGGCGAGUAAAGGUUUUUGAUGAACUUCAUUCAAGCCCUGCAGCGGGCCAUGAGGGUUUCCUUAAAACAUAUAAGAGGAUAUCCCGGUCAUUCUAUUGGGAAGGGAUGAAGAAGGACAUCAAGGAACGGGUCGCAACAUGUGCUAUAUGUCAACAAAAUAAGUAUGAGACUUUGUCCCCUCCUGGUCUCUUACAACCAUUACCAAUCCCAACUAAAGUGUGGUCUGAAAUUUCAAUGGACUUUAUAACUUCCCUUCCACCUUGUAAGGGUAAAACUGUGAUUUGGGUUGUUGUUGACAGAUUGUCCAAAUAUGGCCACUUUCUGGCGUUAAGUCAUCCUUAUACAGCUUCUCAAAUUGCUCAACUUUUUGUUGACAACAUAUUCAAGUUACAUGGUAUGCCACAAUCCAUAGUCAGUGAUAGGGAUCCAAUCUUCAUGAGCAAGUUUUGGAAAGAGUUCUUCCAUUUGCAAGGUUCUGCACUUUGUUUUAGCUCGGGGUAUCACCCACAAACCGAUGGACAAACUGAAGUUCUCAAUCGGUGUCUGGAAACCUAUCUACGAUGUUUUUGUAGUUUGCAACCCAAGAAAUGGGUCAGUUGGUUGUCUUGGGCAGAAUGGAGCUACAACACUAGCUUCCAUUCUGCUAUUAAAAUGAGCCCAUUUGAAGCUGUGUAUGGUUCUGCUCCUCCUGUUAUUCCCGCUUAUGAACCAGGUACAACUACGGUGGAAUCCGUGGAAUAGUGUUUGAAGGAAAGAACCAGAAUUUUGUCACUGCUGAAAUGUAAUUUGGAAGCUGCUCAAUGUCGAAUGAAAGUCCAAGCUGACAAGAAGAUGAUUGAAAGGGCUUUUGAAGUGGGCGAUUUGGUUUACCUUCGAUUGGUUCCUUACCAACUUAAGUCACUGGCAGCUCAUUCCUUCCACAAACUUCAGCCUCGAUUUUUUGGGCCGUUUUUUGUGUUAGCUAAAGCGGGUAAUGUUGCUUACAAAAUUAAGCUUCCUGAUCACUCCAAACUGCACCCUGUGUUUCAUGUCUCUUGCCUGAAAAAACAUCUUGGAGGUACUUUUCAAGCUUCAGUUCCUUUACCGGUGUUGACAGAUGAUGGGAUAUUGCAGGAUGUUCCGAUUGCAAUUUUGGAUCGCAGAAUAGUUAAGACGAAUAACUUGGCUAUAACAGAAGUCUUGGUUCAGUGGUGGAAUCAUUCUCAGGAGGAUGCUACUUGGGAAGUCUACCACGAAUUGAAACACAAAUUUCCAUAAAUUGUUCAUCUUUGACUAUCUUGUUUUGAGUGUCAGCAUGCUUAGUUGACUAUUCGCAUUGUAUUGUAGUUACAUUUGUUGUUGUUUUUGUGCUCUGUAAGUUCAGUUUUAAGGGGGGGUAUUGUUAGGAGUCUGUGACAGAUGGCAUAAUUCUGUUGGUAAUAGUUGGAUGAGAGUUAGUUGGGUGGGUUGUUUGUUAGAACUCACUACAUAUAACGAAUUGUAAAGGAAGUUGAGAUAGGAAUGAAAUUGUGAAUGUUCUCUGUAUUCUCUCUGUGCAAUCUCUCGAAGACGUAGCUAGGUCUUAACAGCAGUCUUCUUUUAAAUCCGCCCCUCCCCUCGCCAAUUCCUGGCGUCAUAAUGUCACUGAAAUGUGGUGUGCUGUGGAAGAUGAUGGUUGGGUAUUUAUAAGAAAAAAAUAUAAUUCUUUCUAUUUUUCUGAAUUUAAAAAAAAUAAUUUCUCAAACUUAAUUAGUAUGGACCGUUGGAUUACAUUUUUUUUCCCAAUCCAACAACCCUAAUUUUGUCACAUCACCCAACAGUAACUUUAAUUUUUUUUUCUACAUUUUUUAUUUUAUUUUAUAAGUUGGAAGACUAGGACCGUUCAUUAGAGCAACUCCAGCGUUGCAAAUGCCUCUUAGGGCUACUCACUAUUGAAUCCAUCCAGUGAACAGUAACUGUCUUUUGCAUCUCUACUCCUAAACUGAAUAGCCAUGGUAAUAGGUAAUGAAAUAUUAAUAUUUUUUAUUUUAUAAAAUAAUACAAAAUAAUUUUAUUUGUAAUUUCGGAUAAGAUUUUUAAUCAUUAUCGUUGCGUCACGUGUUAUUAUCCGAAAAGACAAUUAUUGGUGAUAGAUUUCGAUAAGAUUUUUAUCCAAUGCCGUCGUGCCACGUGUCAUUACCUUUUCAGAAUCGUUGAUGAUAGAUUUUUAACCAAUCACGUCGCGCCACGUGUCACAAUCUGUUUACAAUCUUUGAGGAUAGAUUUCGAUCAGAUUUUUAAAGAAUGACGGCAUGCCGAGUGGCAUCAUCUACAACCUAGUCCUUUCUUUUUCCUCCAUAUAACCCACCAUCCAUCCUAAGAAAUCACACACCAAAAUCAAAAUCUCUAUCAUUAUUCAUAGUUUCUACUUCCUUCUUCACCAAAAUCAAAAUCAAAAUCUCUAUCAUUAUUCAUAGUUUAUGCUUCCUUCUUACAAUGUCUUCUUCUUAAAAAAUGUUGUGGGAAAUCGAGGAGCAAGAGAAAGAAUUGUUUAAGCAAGGGGAAUAAAUGUUCAAUCUCCAGGUGGCCCAAAAUGAGAUGGAAGAGGAAGAGGAUGAGGAUGAGGACCGUAGAAUGAGAGAUGAUGAAGCAAGAAGCCAAAGAGCCUCACAUUCCCAUUAAGUCAUUCAAGCUGGGGCUCAGAUCUGCAGGCCAAGUCGUUCCGCAAACAUUGAUAGAAGCAAGCAACGACGAGGUAAAGAUGUUUUGGACGAUUAUUUUGUCUGUAACAGUGCAUUCCCUGAUACGUACUUUAGAUGUCGUUUUAGAAUGGAACGACAUUUGUUCAACAAAAUCGUGAUUGCUGUUUACAACCAUGAUUCUUACUUUGUGCAAAAGAAUGAUGCUUUAGGUGUUACGUUCUUGAGUCCCUGAUGAGGUUUUUAUCCGCAAUCGAAUCUCUCUACACUGCAGAAUAUCUCCAGAAACCUACUCAAAAAGCCUCACAUUCCCAUCGAGUCAUUCAAGUUGCAGCUCAGAUCUGCAGGCUCAGCCGUUCCACAAACAAUGAUAGAAGGAGGCAAUGAUGAGGUAAAGAUCUUUUGGACGAUUAUUUUGUCCGUAACAGUGCAUUCCCUGAUACGUACUUUAGAUGUCGUUUUAGAAUGAAACGACAUUUGUUCAACAAAAUCAUGAUUGUUGUUUACAAUCAUGAUUUUUACUUUGUACAAAAGAAUGAUGCUUUAGGUGUUACAGGUCUCAUUCCUGAGCAAAAAAUUACUGCUGCCUUGCGGAUGCUUGCAUAUGGAGCAUCUGCAGAUCAAGUGGAUGAGAUAGCGAGGAUGGAGAAAUCAACCAUUCUUGAGUCCCUGAUGAGGUUUUGCUCCGCAAUCGAAUCUCUAUACACCGCAGAGUACUUCCGGAAAACCUACUGAGAUGGACUUGCAAAGGCUUCUGAAGAAGGCCGUGAUGCGAGGUUUUCCUGGGAUGAUUGGAAGCAUCGAUUGUAUGCACUGGACCUGGAAAAACUGUCGAAAUGCAUGGUGGGGAGUUUAUGGGGACAGAAAAUGAGCAAAAAGUAUCAUUUUGAAGGCGGUGGCUUCAUUUGAUACAUGGAUUUGACACGUUUUUUUCGGUGUUCCGGGGGCUCAAAAUGACCUCAAUGUCCUUGCCCAAUCCUCAGUGUUCAACGAUGUCCUGCAAGGAAAAUUACCCAAGGUGGUCAUUGUUUGUCAAAACAGUGCCACGUCCGCGAAGUGCAAAGGAAAAACACUUUGCAAGCUGUCAAGAGGGGUGUAGGAAGGAUGUGGAACGUUGUUUUGGUAUCCUCCAAGCUCGUUGGACGAUUGUAAGGGGUGCUGCCAGAAUGUUUGAUUUAAAGUCGCUUCGAUCCAUCAUGAUGACGUGCAUCAUUCUUCACAACAUGAUUGUGGAAGAUGAGUACGAUUAUGAUGCCGUUGAUGAAUAUGAGCCAGACACAAUGAACAAUUCCAUAACACAAAUAUAUUGUGCUCAUGACGCCAUCGAAGAACCUUUGCAACACGAGCCAUUACAAAGGGGUGGAAGUUACAAUGAAAGGCUCAUUCAGCGAUAUACUGCGAUUCAAGACCCAUAUCUGCACAAUGCUUGGCAAAUUGACUUGAUAAAGCACCAGUGGGAAUUGAAACAAGCUCAAGAAACUUAAGUUCAUUUAGUGUGUUUGUUUUUAUUUGGUGUGUUUGUUUAAUUUUAUUGGUGUGUUUUUUAAGUUCAUUUAGUGACUUUUUUUUUUUAUUUGGUGUGUUUGUAAUUUUAUUUGGUAUGUUUAUGUAAUUUUAUUUGGUGUGUUUAUGUCAUUUGAAUAAAUAUACUCUUAGUUUAAAUAAAUUACCAAAUUAAAUAAAUAUACUCUUAGUUUAAAUAAAGUACUAAAUUCAAUAAAUUGAAACAACAUAAAGUACUCUAUUCAAUAAAUAAGAAAUUACAACCCAAAGCGAACAUGUGGCCCAACCGUUGGUAUGAGAAUUCAAAUUUUUUUACUGUUGGGAAUCCUACGGCCUAGAAAUAUAGUAGUUGGAAAUCCAACGGUUGAGAACAACCCACAUCGCCCCCUUUUAGAAGAGUCCGAGUGCGCCUGCAAGUGGGCCCUGCCACCUGCCUUUGGUCGGCUCACUCGCCAUGUUUCGCACGUUAAAGUCACGGGCCUGAAGCAAACAAAAAAAUAUUAAUAACGUGGAUGAUCUUAGAUAGCCUCAAAAAAGGCCUCAUGCCAUUCUCACCCGACUGCCUUGCCCGUUGGAGUUGGGUCCACUCAUUCGGUGAGGAAAUUGGCAUGGGCUGGAAUGGGGAUUCAAUCACCGUGGGGCAAUUUGUAGGGUGGGAUGGGAUUGCUCUUAAGGCGGGCAAGGGAUCAAUACCGUAUACUGCGCUGGUAUACGAAAAGAACAGAUAGGAAGACGCUCUUUCUCUCCGUCUCAGUCUCAUAUCCGACGACAGACCGAGCAACCAGGUACUCGAUUUGCUUGAAUAUAUUUGCUGUAAUUAAUUAAUUAAAUUUAGUUAGGUAGGUUAGGGUUUGGCUGCUCUCUCAGUUUGCUUCUAUUUUUGUAGUUUAAUUUUAAUUCAGGGUUUGGUUCUAGCAGCUAACAUGGAUGAUGAACCGAUUUUUUUGGGUUUUCUGAAACAGGGUUUAUUUGGCAACCAACGAACGAGUGAAGGCGAACACAGGCUCGAUCUCAUCGAUUAGGUAAACGUAACUCUCUCUCUCUCUCGUUGAAGCAAUUUCAGGUUUGGUGUUUGAAUUAAUGUUCCAAUUUUCAGUUUUGGGGUUUGAAUUAAUUCUCUAAAUUUCAGUUUUGGGGUUUGAAUUAAGGUUCUAAUUAUUAUCAUGAGAUCCAUGAAGCAAUUUCGGUUCUUAGGGUUUGAUUGGCAACGAAUUGUAUGAUUAAUACUGUGAUUGAUAUAUGUAUCAGUGCAUUGCAGAGGUAAUCGAUGGAGGCUGCUGGCGAUAUCAGUGCUCGCAAGGGAGUUACGGUUGGUGCUGUGUCCGCCCUUGUUUCCCAAUAUAACAAACUAUCAGUGUGUAACACCUCGGAGCAUCUCAUAAGUACUAGAAACUCUACGGGCAAGGAGGAGGACGAGGAUGCACAUCAACCGAGCUAUAAGGCUAAGAAGAAGAACAGAUAUCUGGCUGCCAAAAAGCCGGCCUAUCGUUCACCAAACAAGAACAAGGCGGCCUAUCAAUUUCCCGCUAUGCCACCAUGGCCAUGGCCAGUUGCUGAGGACAUGCCUGUUGAUGAAACCCCCUUUCCCGAAUGUCUCUACCUUUUGACUGAUGGUGAUGGUCGCAAGAUUGCAUUAUCUGAUGAGCCUUUUGACUUGGAAGAUUUUUAUAUGCUGAUCUAGAGAAGGCCGAUGCCAGGACGAGGGAGUACCUGAUCUGGAGGGAGGAGGAGAGGGAGAAGGAGAAGGAGGCUAAGUGCAGAAAGCCGCGAGGAACGAGGCUAGGAAAAAGGCGGGCCAUAAUUCGGGGUCUGGCGAAGUGACCCUACCCUUGAAGUAGGUAGGAGGAGAUUGUGUAACUUCUAUGGAUCGACACAAGGACUUGUCAAGGAGGUAGUCACUUCUAGCUAAGAUAUGUAAUAAGUGUUUUUACUUGUUCGUACUGUAUUUUCGGAACAAUUUGUAAUGUUGACGUUAAGUGUAUAUUCGAUAGCAUCUAUGCCUCAAAUUAUUUACUUGUGUUUGGCUUUUGGCAAGAAGACUUUUUUUUAGUAGAGGUUUAGUAGCAUAAAUAGGUUAACCGUUGGUAGGCUUAUAGCAAGCAGGCUUUUUUUUCUUUUUUUGUGGAGAAUAUGAUGAUGGGGUGUGUCGUUCGUGUGUGUAUCUAUCGACUUAUGUUCCCAACAGAGUGCCGGUUGCUGCUUAGUAGGACUCUGUUCAUGGUUUUCUCCAUCCCCUCCCCUCCCCUCCCCGUCCAUGCACGGGUUUUGAUCCCCGCCCCUUCAGAUACAUUUUAAUGGUAUUACAAUGGCACCCGGUCGUCCAUCUCCUCCGUAUGUCAUCAUCCCACGCUUUCAGUUUCAGUUUCAGUUUUGCCAAGUGCUUGAACAUCUUCCUCAUGUUGGAGUGUGAGAGAAGCUAUGGGGCGUUGGUUCAUGUCUAAAUUGGCAGCCAGAACGGAUUUCAUUUCCAAGCAUGUAAAAUGUCCAACACAAAUACAUGAAAGUAAAUUUAACGAUGAUUUUUUAGAAUUUCCGUUGUGGCCUAUUUUAGUGACAAGGGAAUAAGGGGUUGCGACAAGGAGAGAGAGAGUGGAGAAAGUGUAGGAAUUUCUCUGUGUGAUCAAGCGAGUAUACUUGGAUUGUUCCCCUGAGUUUGACAUAAUUCCAAAGAGAACUAACAAUUUACAACUCAAAAAGUUUACGCAUAUCAAUUCCUUGAACAAGUUUCUGAAACGUCGUCUUCGGCAAAGACUUGGUGAAGAGGUUGGCCAAGUUGUCCUGGGAACGGAUUUGCUUGACUUCAAUCUUCUGAUACACUUGUUGCUGAUGUGAGGAGAAGAACCUUGGCGCAAUGUGAUUGGUGUUGCCUCCUUUGAUGUAUCCCUUCUUGAGGAGAAGACUUUUAUGGAUCGACACAAGGACUUGUCAAGGAGUUAGUCACUUCUAGCUAAGUAAUGUAAUCAUCAGGUGUUUUUACUUGUGCGUAUUGUAUUUUCGGAACGAUUUGUAAUGUUGACGUUAAGUGUAGCAUCUGAUGCCUCUAAUAUUUACUUAUGUUUGGCUUUUGGCAAGCAGACUUUUUGUUUUCCGUUUUGAGUUUAGCGUGCAUGGCCAAUUUCAGUAGAAAUGAAUCCUGAUUUCUUGGAUUCAAUCGAUUGCACUACUAAUGCAGUAGCCAGUAAUCUGUCAAUUAAAAUUGUUUGACAUGCGCACGACACGACACUCUUUAGAGAGUAAUACAGUUACUCAUCCAUAAGCUCUUAAUAUGCAAGUUACGUGACUUAAAUUGUCGAAAAAUUAAACAUAAUAGCUUCCAAUCUAAUAGCACAAUUGUUGUCGGAACGUUUUUUUAAUCACUCUCUCUCCCAAAACCUCUUGGAAAGCUACAUUAAAGGUAAUAAGUAUUUCAUUAAUAAAAUAAAAUGAGGAACAUCAUCCAUAAGGAAUACAUUUUCAUGAUUACAAACCCGACAAAAAACACAAUACAGUUGCUAUCUACAUAUAUAACCACCACAUCUAACCAAACAGAAAGAUAAACGCUCACAAGGAGACUUAUGUUCGGAUGACCAUAUGAGUACUUGAAGGCUUCCUCUAUCCUCAUUAGCAACUACACAACACUUUCUUGGUAUAGUUCGCCUGGUGGACUAGAAUAUUGCCAGAACAAUGUUCGAUCUUGAGGCCGAGACAAUAUUGAGUUUUCCAAAAAUUUUUUAAUCUCAAAUUUUGACUUGAGGUGCACCACAAUUUUUUUUCUGGCUCUUUAGGAGCCCCGUUGAGAUUAAUGUUAUCGACAUAAACUUCAACUAUCGUAAAUUCGAAAUGUGACUUGAUGAUAAACACGCAGAGGCAUAUUUUGUUAUACGCAAAAACCCUCGCUCUACGCAAAACACUUCUCACGCACCCAACCCUCCUCCCCGUCAACAUAUCUUCAGUUUGGAUAAGUAAAUAUCAUUGUCUUGACAACCGGGCUAUAUCUUUAGUUUGGAUAAGUAAACAACACUGAAGUCAUAGAAUCUAGCAACAUAUAAGCACCUUCAAUUUUGAAAAGUAAGCAACAAUGCUUCUGGGUGGUUGGUUAUAUACCAAGUCUCUGGAAGCGAAGAGCUCUCAACUUUUUCGCCCAAAAGAUGUCACUUCAAUAACUUCCAAGUGAAAUGAGGUGUUUUAUAAUUAGUUACUCUUAGAUGCAUUUCAUAAUUCGACGUACAGAAGACCGACUAAUGUUCACUACUAUAAAGACACAUACCAUUUUACCGUGAAAAAGAAUAGAGAAAAACUAAUUUAGGAACCAAAUGGAUUACUCAAAUACAAUUGGAAAUCCGAAGAGGCCUUUGGAAAAGUUUCCUUAAAAAGUAAAAACAAGAAACUAAUAAUGUUGAGUUUUGCGUGCGGAAUACGAAAAAUGUAAUAAUCCAAACCAUUAAUGGUUUCCCACUUCCCAGUCCAGUCCCAGUCCCAUCCACUGUACCGUCUUCUCCGUCAUAAACGACUUCGUGGGUUGAGGGUCACACUUUAAACCCGACCCGCCGCCUCUUAUCACCACCGCCAGCGCCACCGCAAGAAAAUGAGCAAGAGGGUGUCCGGUCCCAAGCUGAGGCGUAUGUAUUGGGGUUUGGGUCGACUCCGGUCGAUUCUCAUGGCGACGGCGACAAUUGACAUUGCUAAUUUGCAAGUGUUUGUAGAGGUAUUUAUUUAUUGCUCCUCCUCGAUUCUCAUGCUAAAUUUUAGUUUAAAGUAUGAAACUUUUUCAUGUUUUCCUUCCUGUAAUCUCUCUCUCAGCAACAAUUAGUUUAAUAUUAUCAAUAAAAGUUGUUUUGGUGUAGGGAAUUGAUGAGAGAGAGAGAGAGAGAGAGAGAGAGAGAGAGAGAGGGAGAGGGGUUGAAAGCUUGAAGCUUUUUAAAAAAAAUUUCUCGCUUAUUUGUAAUGCAGAAUGGAGGACGGACAUUGCUGAGCUAUCUGGGCCUGACUUUCGAGGUUUGCAUUACAUCGGUGGAUGGUAAACUAAAAUCUGCUGGUCGACAUUGUUCUCGCCUGCAAAGUACAUGGCUUUCGAACUACAUAUGGACAACCUAAAGCUAGCGCUCUCGUAUACUUGUCCCCAGAGACCUUGCGGUUGCGGUUUCAGGUGAUUUUUUUAUACUCAAACGUCCGAUGACUGAUGGCAAAGGUGGUGCUGGUGUUGUAUCUGAUGAUCCACUUUCAACAACUUCAGUGCCUUGUUCUAUUUCUGCUUAUGGGUGUUAGUGGCUGCUCUAGAAUUGGUGGUUACUUAUGAAUUAGAUUUCUUGAGUAUUUACUUGCAUUUGUAUCUUCUAAAUCUUUUGUCUAUACCUACUUUUUGUCUUGUGUUGCUUGCAGCAUGAGAUAACUUUUGCUUCUAAGAUUAACUUAUUUUUGUUCCAACUUCGAAUGUGGUGCCGGUUGAUGCAGGUUUGCCGCGAAGGAAAUCUUCCUCCAGAUCCCCUGCCACUGUUCAACUAGAACUUGGUCUGGUUGAUACAUUUCUCAGAUUUUGUAGGCUUGGAUGGCAAGCUGGCUGGUUGAAAUUGAUUUCAGUUUCUUUUGUCCUUUGCUCCUCACCCAACAGAGUUGAACAGAUACUGCUUUAUUUUGGGUUCGAACAUGUAACAGCUGCUGCUGCCUCUCACAGUGUUGGUAAACUUAUGGGAAAAAAGCAGAUGGGGCACCUUUCGCGAGUCAUAAUGUACAAAAACGUCAACCACUACCUAUUUUCCUUGAGCUCGUCCGAGGCCCGUUUAUCUCUAGGGUUACAAUUCAUUGAUUUCCUUGGCGGGAAAAGCUCUCUGCGGUGAGGGUCCUAUUAGCAGUGCACCUUCAUAAUAUUACCCUUUGUUGCAUUGCAUAUAUGUUCAUACUUUCUUUGUCCAUUUAUGUUCUGUCAUAAAGAAAUCUGACUUCCACAGUGAAAGUGGAAAUUAUUUUUAUGAAAUGUUUUUAAACUGGAGAAGAAAAAGUUUUCUUCAUUUCUUUGUAUUUUGUGAAUUAAAUUUCAUCAGUUAAUACUAUAAUUGUCUUACCUCCCCGCACAGGAUAUCUGCAAACAGUUCAACUUGAGCUGAGAAAGUCCUUAGCUUGGAGGCAUUGCCAGAUCCUAUAUUACAUGUUUGAGAAACGGUUGAUCAUUUUUUAAGCAAACCACGAGGCAGUAAAAGUAAUUUCAGCUUCGCAUCUCUCUUGGGUACCACCAAUGACAUCGAGUGAAGAACAGGCCGCCCUGGUGAAUUUCUUCCCAGUGCUACCUUGCUCUGUUUAUCUGCUUUUCCACAUAAUUGUGUCCAAGAAGAUGCUGCUUUAGUUGCUGAAGAGCUAUCUGCUAUGAAUUUGAAUCCUUACAGCCAUUCACUUCCCCUAUUCGGAGCUCUAGGAAAGUUCGUCUUAAAGAGCGACCGUCAGGUAAUAGUUAUAUUGGAUCCUCCAAUGCCGUACACAUAAUAUCUUCCAUUUGGUUUAAGAUCUGAAAUUCUAAUGCUAUGAAUUGUUUGGCCUCAUUUAGUCAAUAUUUCCAAAUUUUGAGAUACCGUAUCAUUUUCUUUUGACAUAAAAGUAAGUAAAUAGAUAAAUAAAAAGAUUUUAAAGUGAUUUCAAUGAGAGACGUGAACGAAACUGGAAAGUUUUCAUAAAGAUCUGCGUACAUUUAUGUACCAAUAAUGCAUCGAUACCUGGUGUAGCACGUGUGAGAAGUGUGUCAAUUCGCGAAAAUAAAUUAUUGCACCUUCUGACAUGCUCUAUAGAGAACCUUUUCUUACUGACUACUGGAUUUGUAUGAUAGUAUUCCUGGUCUUGUCUAUUUUGGCACUAUACACAAAUAGGAUGUAUUGCUAUUUGGAGUGUAUGCAAGAAGGGAGGGGAAUACUGAUCAUGCAAGAAGGGAGGGGUCUUCAUUUAGCACGGCAUUUUCAUCUGUCGAGUGUUGAUGGCUUACUUUGGUAAGGUCUCUAGAUGUUUAUUGAAAAUAUGUUUUAUUGUAUAUCAAUUUAGCUACUGAUAUUUGUUUCAUAAUUUUUUUUUCUCUGUCCAAUAUGAGUUUUUUUUUUUCGUGAGGUGGUUAGACUUUGGAUGUAUUGUGUUUAUUGGGAAUGACUAGAACUUAGAUUUUCGCCAAUUUGGCAUCAGAGUCGUUGAGGGGUUAGCUCUUUCUUUCGUCAAAUUGAUAAUUCCUUUCAAUAAUCUUCAACCCUCUGUGUGAAGGUUUGUCAUGGACUUUGUUGGCAUUUAGACAUUGUGUUUACUUUAAUCUUCCACUAUUGAUUUGAGGAGGAAUUACGGUCGGAUGCUUCGCUUCUAUAAAUCUGGGAUGCUGAGACGGAACUUGCCAACGAGCAUGGCGAUGGGUGUGAAUCAUCAUUUCAUGCAAUGCAUAUUUUAUUUUGCUUAGGAAGUGGUGCAAUAUGAAGUCUGCAGAAUGUCAACCAUUGGAAUUGAUGGGAGCACGGCAAGGUUUCAUGGAAAGAGUAAGGACAGUACAAAUGGCACGGGUGCAAGGUGGUAUACAUGGAUGAUCAGUCGGUUGCUCUCAUAUGUUUCUGAUGCUUUUAUUUGAAGAGUUAACCUCUGGAUCAGGCUUUUGCAAUGGUGCUUCCAGGUAGUUCUCCUGUGCGUCUCCUCAUGUCCUGUAGUGCUAGUAAAAUUAUAUUUGAUUCAAGUAGCUUUACUUGAUCCUGUCAGUCAUAUUCCGUAGUUCUGCUGCUGUGUAGAAAGGGUGUCUUUUGAGUAGCAUACUUUUUAAGUAGAGUAAAUAGCGUAGGUGUUAGCGGUAGGGUAUUGAAUGCUUUAAAUUUACUAAAGAAUUACGAAAAAGGGUUGGUGAAGGUAUGGAAUCUCAAUCUCAUAAUACGCAUGCGUUAGUAAUGAUGCCGAGCAUCACUUUGAUGGCAUGUUUACGUAAGGGUAAUCGGAAUAAAGAAAGGGAAUUGAAUUCCGAUUACGGAGUAUUCUGGUGUUUACUAAAUAUUAAGGAAUCAAAAAAGUGGUGGAGCCCACACGAAACAAGGAAUCCAAUUCCUGAAAUUGGAGGAACCGGAUUCCCUAGUUUUGUGAGGUAUUUGAAUUCCCUAAGGGCAAGGGAAUUAGGAAUGCAUAUUUUAUUCCAAUUAUGCCCUCACUUGUUUCUUAUUAUCCCAACAUUGCCCUUCAUUUGACACUCAUUAUGUCAUUUUUAAUAAAUAAAUAAAAACCUAUUUAUAUUUUUUUUAUAGAUAAUUUUAUUAUAUAAAUUUAAUUAAGAAUUUAAUUUAAUUAAUUAGUAUGAAAAUAAUUUAUUUAUGUAAGGGCAAUUUAGUCAUCAACUUAGUUUUCAUUCCGAUUGAAGUGAAUUAGUAAACAACUUAUAUAGACUCAAUAUCAUUUUUGUCAUCUUUUAAUAAAUAAAUAAAACCUAUUUAUACAUGCUUAUAUAGAUGAAUUUUAUUAUAUAAAUUUAAUUAAGAAUUAAAUUAAAUUAUUAGUAUGAAAAUAAUUUAUUUAUGUAAGGGCAAUAUAGUAAUCAACUUAGUUUUCAUUCCGAUUGAAAUGAAUUAGUAAACAACUUAUAUGGACUCAACAUCAUUCCUACUCCGAUUCCUGACAGUUUUAGUAAACAACUUCAACAGGAAUCUGAUUCUGAUUCCACCUCAUUUCAAUUCCUCCUCAAUCCAAUUCCCCCUCAAUCCAAUUCCUCUCAAUUUGAUUACGGAUUAGUAAACGCGCCAUUGUAUUAAUACGUGAUGUUUCCUUACAUGGCUGGCAAUGGCGAUGCCGAAUAUGCAGGUUGGCGGCGGCGGGUGGACGUUGAGAAUAGAAUUUUGUUACAGUGGCUGUACUCGACGGACGGAGGCUGCAGCUGGUGGUGGUUGAAGCUGUGUGUGUGCGUGCGUUGUCAAUGAUGUAUAACAGAAACACAGAUUGAAUUAGUUGCUUAGGAAUCUUGCUAUCUGUGACUAUACACAAACACAGUACGUGUUGAGCCAAAAUCAUGCAUCCAUCUUGCAUUAACAACAGACGGCAGAGGCUUGAACGGAACAAAAUGUUGCAAAUAACCAAAAUCAAAGUAUAUCCAAACUGCCACUACAGCGUUUGUUUUUAACCAAGAAAACAUGCCUCCGAUCCCAUUUCAUUAUGGAAGGAAAAAAAAAUGAAAUAAAAAUACAGCAUUUAUAAAUUUAUGUGGGUUGAUUGUUGUAAUCUCAGACUUGGCAAUGUAUGUUUUACAAGUAUAAUUGAGCAUAAAAUAAUAAUAAUAAUGAUAAAAAAGAGGUGUUUGAAUUAAAUUAAUGGAGACGAAGGAACCUUUACAAGUUAGAAGGAACGAUCCAACGAACGAACAUCAUCUCUCUCUCUCUCUCUCUCUCUCUCUCUCUCUCUCUCUCUCUCUCUCUCUCUAUAUAUAUAUAUAUAUAUAUAUAUAUAAAGUGAGAAUCUCAAAUAGGUGGAGCUUUUAAUAUUUCAAUUAUGUCCUUACUUUGAUAGAGAAAAUAAUUAACAACUACCCAACAAAAUAGGGACAAAAUAGUAAUAUUGUACAAUUUAGAAAUCAAAAUUUGAUUAAAACCUUAAUAAUAUUCAAAAUUUGAUCAAGGUCUCUUGACUUUGUACACCUCAUUAUAUUACUAUUAAUAUUUAUAUUUUUAUAGUUUUGACAUUAAUUAUUUGAUAUUUUAUAAGAUUUAUAAUCCUAUAAAUUUAAAAUCCCUCAUUAUAAUACGAUUAGAAACAGUUACAAUAAAAAAAUUCAAACAUUUUGAUUGAAUAAAUGGAUAAAAACUAUGUAAAAAUAAGAAAUAAUAAAUGGCAAAAGAAUGUAUCCAUAGUGUUAAAAAAAUUGGUACAUUUUACAAAAACAUUGGUACAUUUCACAUACAACAAAGUGGUACAUUAAUAAAAAAUAAUGGGUACAUUAGAAAUAAAUUAGGGUACAGAUAAAAGAUUAAAAAUUAUGAAUACAAAUGAAUUUUUAAAAAUAUAGGCGCUAAAAAAAAUUAAUACAUGGGUACAAAAUAAAACUAAAAAAAAAAUACUACAAAUUAAAAAAAAAUGUUGCAAAUUAAAAGUGGAUACAAACUAAAAAUAUAAAUAUAUGAUACAAAGUUUAAGCAUAAAACAUAAAUAUACCAUAUGUAAUUUUUCUAUCGUUGAUUAAUUAUACAAUGUCUCGUGAGGGUAUACACAUGGUUACAAACACAAAUAAAACUUCAAAAAAUAUGGGCACAAAAAGAAACUAAUAUAUGGGUACAAAUUAAAAAUGAAAAGAGAAUUGGUACAAAUUAAAAAAUAUUUGCAAAUUAAAAAUAGGUACAAACUAAAAAUAAAAAUAUAUGAUAAAAAAUUUAGCCAUAAAUAUAAAUAUAAUAAUUGUAACAUUUUUAACAUUAAAGGAAUAUAUUUAAAAAUAAAAAUAUUUUAUUAUUCAAAUAAUUAAUGAUGUUAUUAAUACCUAAGAACCUUGAUCAAAAAUUGAAAAUGAAUAGGAUUUUAAUCAAUGGAGUAACAAAAAUAAGGCUGUGAACCUAAUUUUCCCUUCAGAAAUCAAACGUGGAAGAGACAAAUUCCACCACGUUUGCAAAUCGGUUUUUUCUCAAAUUGUUAGAUUUCCUUGCCGAGGGGGAUAGGCGGAGGCCAUUCCAUCAGUUUAUAUCUCAAACUGCAGAUAUCCCAACAUAGGCCAUUGGUAAAGGUAGCGGUACUGAAGAAGCAGAAAAAACACGUAUGUGUAUAGCGCAACAAGUCAUACGGUUUCAAACUGCCACUACAGCGGUGGUUUUUAACCAAGAAAUCGUGCCUCCAAUCCAAUUUCAUUAUAAAAGGAAAAAAAAUGAAAUAAAAAUACAACAUUUAUAAAUUUAUGUGGGUUGAUAAUCGUAAUCUCAGACUUGGCAAUAUAUGUUUUACAAGUAUAAUUGAACAUAAAAUAAUAAUAAUAAUGAUAAAAAAGAGAUGUUAGAAUUAAAUUGACGGAGACGAAAGAGCCCUUACAAGUUAGAAGGAAGGAAGUAACGAACAUCAUAAAAAUUAAAAGAAAGAGAAAGAGGGGGAGAGAAAGAAAAAGACAAAACCAACGAUAAAACUCAGAAACAAAACAAGUCCACCAAAGCCCCCUAACCUUAACACAAGGUUUCUAUCAGAGGAAAGGAGGGCGCCGCCCUUAGUAAUAGUCUUUCUCUCUCUUAACGUUUAGCUGCUGCUUAACCUUCAGCUGUUAUUGAGAAGAAGAGAGAGAGAGAGAGAGACAGACAAAGAGAGAAGACACCAUUGAAGGCGGCAAAGAAGAGGAGGUUGGGCAACACUUGUUUGGGGUAUUUCUCUUUCGACCAACCCUAGUUGAGUAGUUAGUUAGGGCUUUCCCUUUCCCCCGAUAUAUGAUUCUCUGUCUUUGUCUGUUGUUAGUUCUCACUUUUAUCCUUCUUGCAGGGCAGUCUAGUGCGGAGAAACAAGCAAAAAAACACAAUGGGGCUGCUAGUCUAACAGUUUCCUUGUAGAUUUGCAAUGAAAAUUUGAAUCAUCAAUCAUGAACAAAUGGGUGGAAAUUGCAGCAUUGAUGUCAAGAUGUAAACUUUCUUUUCAAAAGAAAUAAUGACAUAUAGACUUUAUGGGUAUUGUGAAUAAUGUACAUAUUGUGAUGUAGGUUUUAUAUUUUGACAUUUAAGUUGUUUAGUAUUUUGCUACGAGUACUUAAUGUUUUCAUCACCAUCACUUUUUAUAUUUGCAUCUACUUACUAUUGUUCAUGGACUUUAGUUAGGAACUUGCAUCCAAAAUCCUAUGUUGUUUGACAAUUGCAUGAAUAACAUUUAAAUCAUUACUUUAUGCAAAGUGAAAACGAAAAACAUGACAACUUUUUAGGAUGUACAUGGUAAAGAAAAAUAACAAAGCUGAACGUUAAGCAGCAGCUAAACCUUUAGAGAGAUAAAGACCAUUACCAAGGGCAGCGCCCUCCUUCUCCUUUGAUAGAAACCUUGUUGUUAGGGUUAGGGGGCUUUGUGGAAUUGUCAGACCAUUGCCAAGGGCGGCGCCCUCCCUCUCCUCUGAUAUAAACCUAUAUCAUAAUAUGUACAUUAUUCACAAUACCCAUAAAGUCUAUAUGUCAUUGUUUCUUUUGAAAAGAAAGUUUACAUCUUGACAUCAAUGCUGCAAUUUCCACCCAUUUGUUCAUGAUUGAUGCUUCAAAUUUUCAUUGCGAAUCUACAAAUGAUAGUGAGAAAAUUAAAAAUCACUUCCCUCAAUUUAUAGUGUCAUUGUUUAUUACCAAGUGGCCACUGCAAAGAUUAUCACCUCCCUCCCUAACUUUUUACUAAUUUUUGUCUACUUCGUCUAAUUAUUUUAAUGCCUUAAUCUCUUGAAUGCUUCGUCUUUGCUUUUUCAUCCAUCUCAGGUUUUAACACAUUUUGUGAUUGUGAAACAGGUAUUGGAUUGAUUUUAGCAGGUGUGAUUUUUUGUUAUCGUUGAUUAGAUUCGGACCUUUGUGUCGAUCAAAGUCAUUAUUGCUGGGUUAGCUGAGGUAUGAUUGCUAGCUUUUUCUCUUGGUGCAAUACAAAAUGUUUUGAGUUGUUAUACGGACUUAAGAUUUAGUAAGUACUUGCCGAAAGUCAUGGGAUUUUGAAAUAUCGAUGUCUUGCUUGCUUAUAAGCUUACAAAUUUCUUUUUAGCUUAAACAUCGAUGAAUCAAGGAAGUCCUUUUUCACUGCCUCACAGCGUACAAUGUGUUUGUGAUUUACACAAUAGAGUCGUUCCCCACAUGUGUGAGGAUCUGUGCAUGCAACCUCAUUGGUUAGGCAUGCCUUGAAUUUUGAUGUUUGGGGCAGUGUUUAAUCCUUUGCCAGUGGUGCUCCACUUUGUGAUACCAUGGAUGAGCAAGAAAGUAAAUAGAAGAGUUUGAUUGCAUAAUUACUCAAAAAAAAUAAGUUUAUAUUUUUUUAACUAUUCUGAAGUGAAAUCAGUAAUCUUCUACUGGUCCGGUUCAAUGUUGUCCCUGUUUAUAUGGGACGAUGCAACACUUAAAUGAUACUUUUCUAAUUAGAGCCUUUAUGAUGGUCAUUAUUAGUUCUCCAAUGUAUUGGGCAAUGCAGUUUUGUUGGUUCAUAUUAGGAAAUAGGUUGCUUUUACUUAAAGCCUUUCUGAUUGUCGCCAUUAAUUCUCGCACAUAUGGGCAAUGAAGUUUUGUUGGUUAUCUGUUGUAGCAGCAUACUAAGUCAUGAUUGUUACAACGUCUGACCUUGAACUUUCUUUUUGCUUAUUUAGGCGAAGUUUUCAUAAAGAUCUGCGUACAUUUAUGUACCAAUAAUGCAUCGAUACCUGGUGUAGCACGUGUGAGAAGUGUGUCAAUUCGCGAAAAUAAAUUAUUGCACCUUCUGACAUGCUCUAUAGAGAACCUUUUCUUACUGACUACUGGAUUUGUAUGAUAGUAUUCCUGAUCUUGUCUAUUUUGGCACUAUACACAAAUAGGAUGUAUUGCUAUUUGGAGUGUAUGCAAGAAGGGAGGGUAAUACUGAUCAUGCAAGAAGGGAGGGGUCUUUAUUUAGCACGGCAUUUUCAUCUGUCGAGUGUUGAUGGCUUACUUUGGUAAGGUCUCUAGAUGUUUAUUGAAAAUAUGUUUUAUUGUAUAUCAAUUUAGCUACUGAUAUUUGUUUCAUAAUUUUUUUUUCUCUGUCCAAUAUGAGUUUUUUUUUUUUCGUGAGGUGGUUAGAUUUUGGAUGUAUUGUGUUUAUUGGGAAUGACUAGAACUUAGAUUUUCGCCAAUUGGGCAUCAGAAUCGUUGAGGGUUUAGCUCUUUCUUUCGUCAAAUUGAUAAUUCCUUUCAAUAAUCUUCAACCUUCUGUGUGAAGGUUUGUCAUGGACUUUGUUGGCAUUUAGACAUUGUGUUUACUUUAAUCUUCCACUAUUGAUUUGAGCAGGAAUUACAGUCGGAUGCUUCGUUUCUAUAAAUCUGGGAUGCUGAGACGGAACUUGCCAACGAGCAUGGCGAUGGGUGUGAAUCAUCAUUUCAUGCAAUGCAUAUUUUAUUUUGCUUAGGAAGUGGUGCAAUAUGAAGUCUGUAGAAUGUCAACCAUUGGAAUUGAUGGGAGCAUGGCAAGGUUUCAUGGAAAGAGUAAGAACAGUACAAAUGGCACGGGUGCAAGGUGGUAUACAUGGAUGAUCAGUCGGUUGCUCUCAUAUGUUUCUGAUGCUUUAUUUGAAGAGUUAACCUCUGGAUCAGGCUUUUGCAAUGGUGCUUCCAGGUAGUUCUCCUGUGCGUCUCCUCAUGUCCUGUAGUGCUAGUAAAAUUAUAUUUGAUUCAAGUAGCUUUACUUGAUCCUGUCAGUCAUAUUCCAUAGUUCUGCUGCUGUGUAGAAAGGGUGUCUUUUGAGUAGCAUACUUUUAAGUAGAGUAAAUAGCGUAGGUGUUAGCGGUAGGGCAUUGAAUGCUUUAAAUUUACUAAAGAAUUAUGAAAAAGGGUUGGUGAAGGUAUGGAAUCUCAAUCUCAUCAUACGCAUGCGUUAGUAAUGAUGCCGAGCAUCACUUUGAUUGUAUUAAUACGUGAUGUUUCCUUACAUGGCUGGCAAUGGCGAUGCCGAAUAUUCAGGUUGGCGGGCGGGUGGACGUCGAGAAUAGAAUUUUGUUACAGUGGCUGUACUCGACGGACGGAGGCUGUGUUGAAAGGUAAUCUUGCUUCUAGAAUGGCCGGUGCAUGCAUUGAAAAUGCUAGACAAUUCUAGCAUGAAUAUGGCAUGUGUUCAUUAUGUUCAUAAGCAAAGUCUAUGUUGGUGGGCUACUUUAAGAGAAUCAAGAAUAAUGGCUAGGAUGAUUUCAUACUUGGUAUUCACACUUGGUAUGGUUGGUUAUGCUUGCCUAUAAAUAUAGGUGAGUGUGUUGUAAUGUAAGAUAUAAGAAGAAGAAAAGAGAAGUGAGAAAGAAGAAGAAGAAGUAAGAGAGACAAGAAGGCUCUCUAAAGUGAGAAUAAGUAGAAGAAGCAUUCAUAGCUUCCAAGAGUGUUUGAGUGAUUUCUCUUGUAUUAGUUUGUGUGAGAAUAAGAAAAGUUUUGAGUGUUACCUUGAAUAUUCUUUUUCUCUUGCCUAUCAAUUUCCGCUGUGUUACAUUCUUAUUUGUGAGAUAGACAUCUCCAAAGUAGAGAAGUCUUUUAAAUCCCAACAAAGUGGUAUCAGAGCCAUGGCUAACAAUGCUAUGGCAGCUUUCCAAGUUCCAGUGCUCAACAACAACAACUUCGAUAAUUGGUAUAUCAAAAUGAAGGCCCUUUUGGGAGCACAUGAUGUAUGGGAAGUCGUGGAGAAAGGCUACACUGAGCCAGAAGAUGAAGCUACUUUGUCCCAACCCCAGAAGGAGAGUUUGAAAGAUUCAAGAAAGAGAGACAAGAAGGCUCUCUACCUCAUCUACCAAGCAUUAGAUGACAAUGGUUUUGAGAAGGUCUCAAGUGCAACCUCCACCAUGCAAGCAUGGGAGAAGCUUCAAACCUCUUACAAAGGAGCCGAACAAGUGAAAAAGGUUCGUCUUCAAGUAUUAAGAGGUGAGUUCGAAUCUUUACAAAUGAAAGGGUCUGAAUCAAUCUCCGAUUACUUCUCAAGAGUGUAGCCGUUUCCAAUCAAUUAAAAAGAAACGGUGAAAAAUUAGAAGAUGUAGAAUUAUGGAGAAGAUACUACGCUCGUUGGACCCCAAGUUCGAGCACAUUGUCGUGACAAUUGAAGAAACUAAAGACUUGGAAGAAAUCAGUAUAGAGCAAUUAAUGGGUUCGCUACAAGCAUAUGAAGAGAAACAUAAGAAGAGGCAAGGGAAUGAUGAGCAGCUCCUCAAGAUACAUAUUCAGCCAAAGAAGAAAGAAGAAAGCUUCGACAACGAGAGAAGCCAGUACGGAAGAAGUCGUGGCCGAGGUCGCGGACGUGGACAUGGACGUGGACGCAGUUGGAACUUCAACAACCAUAGCAACUACGAAAGAGGAGAAAGCUCAACAAAAGGUCGUGGGAGAGGACGCUCAAACUUGAGGUAUGAAAAAUCUCAAGUUCAAUGCUAUAAUUGUCAAAAGUUCGGGCAUUAUGCUUGGGAAUGUAGAGCUCCAAACAACAGACUUGAUGAGAAGGUCAAUUAUGUGAAAGAAGAUAAAGAAGAGAAUGGCGUUAUGCUACUAGCAUGCAAGAACAAUGAUGGAGACCAAGACUAUACAUGGUAUCUUGACACCGGCGCCAGCAACCACAUGUGUGGAAAAAGAAGCGUGUUCGUAGAGCUCAAUGAAUCAGUGAGUGACAACGUUUCUUUUGGAGACGAAUCCAAAAUACCCGUAAAAGGAAAAGGUAACAUCCUUAUUCCCCUUGAAAAUGGCGGUCACCAAUUAAUUUCAAAUGUCUACUACGUGCCCAAUAUGAAAAGCAACAUUUUGAGUUUGGGUCAACUCUUAGAAAAAGGUUAUGAUUUUCAUACAAAAAAUUAUAUCCUUUUUCUUAGAGAUGACAAAGGAAGAUUAAUUGCCAAGGCGAAAAUGUCAAAAAAUAGGAUGUUUCCCAUGAACAUUCAAAACGAUGUUGCAAAGUGUCUCAAGAUAUGUUACAAAGACAUAUCUUGGCUUUGGCAUCUUCGUUUUGGGCAUCUUAACUUCGGGGGAUUGGAGUUAUUAUCUAAGAAGGAGAUGGUGAGAGGAUUACCGUGCAUCAGCCACCCUGAUCAAGUUUGUGAAGGAUGCUUACUUGGAAAACAAUUCAGGAAAAGCUUUCCAAAGGAGUCGACCACAAGAGCCCAGAAGCCACUUGAGCUCAUUCACACCGAUGUGUGCGGUCCUAUAAAACCAAGCUCUUUGGGUAAAAAUAAUUAUUUCCUUCUCUUCAUUGAUGAUUUUUCAAGAAAAACCUGGGUUUAUUUCUUGAAGCAGAAAUCAGAAGUCUUUGGAGCAUUCAAGAAGUUCAAAGCCGCCGUAGAAAAAGAGAGUGGUUACAAGAUCAAAGCCAUGAGAUCUGAUCGAGGAGGAGAAUUCACUUCAAAGAAAUUUCAAGAAUUUUGUGAAGCCAAUGGAAUUCGUCGACCUUUGACAGUUCCAAGAUCCCCUCAACAAAAUGGUGUGGCGGAAAGAAAAAAUCGAACUAUCCUCGACAUGGCUCGAAGUAUGCUCAAAAGCAAGAGAUUGCCUAAGGAGUUAUGGGCAGAAGCUGUAGCAUGUGCUGUCUACCUAUCCAAUCGAUCUCCAACAAGAAGUGUGUGGGGAAAGACUCCGCAAGAAGCAUGGAGUGGAAGAAAACCAGGUAUCUCUCAUCUAAGAGUUUUUGGAAUAGCCCAUGUACAUGUACCAGAUGAGAGGAGAGCCAAACUCGACGACAAAAGUGAGAAGUUCAUCUUCAUCGGCUAUGACUCAAAUUCAAAAGGCUACAAGUUGUAUAAUCCAAACAAUGGAAAGACGGUGAUCAGUCGAGACGUGACGUUCGACGAAGAAGAAGAAUGAGAUUUUGGCCCCGCAUGCAGGAGAUCUUCAUUUCUUUCCUCAAUUUGAAGAAGAGAAUGAACAAGGGACGAUGGAGCAAGCAAGAGAGGUUCAACAAAAAUCCACUACUCCACCUACUUCACCAAUAUCAACCAAUCGUGGCAAUUCACCAGCAUCAACAUCAUCAAGUGGGAGCCUAAAUGAAAGAGAAGUACCACGCACAAGAAGUAUACGAGAUCUCUAUGAGGUAGCUGAAAGACUUGAUAAUCCUACACUUUUCUGUCUCUUUGCUGAUUGUGAACCAGUCGACUUCCAAGAAGCAGUACAAGAUACUAAGUGGAGGAAAGCAAUGGAUGAAGAAAUCGAAGCAAUCGAGAAAAAUGAAACAUGGGAACUCACUGUUCUUCCAAAAGGACACAAAGCCAUCGGAGUCAAGUGGGUGUACAAGACAAAGAAAAAUGCCAACGGAGAGGUCGAAAGAUACAAGGCGAGACUAGUGGCGAAAGGUUAUAGUCAAAGAGCCGGAAUCGACUAUGAUGAGGUAUUUGCACCUGUUGCUCGUUUGGAAACGAUACGAUUGCUAAUUUCUUUGGCAGCUCAAAACAAAUGGAAGAUUCAACAAAUGGAUGUGAAGUCCGCCUUCCUAAAUGGAGUCCUUGAAGAAGAAGUCUACAUUCAGCAACCAUCAGGCUAUGAAAUCAAAGGGCAUGAAGACAAGAUUCUGAAGCUGAAGAAAGCCCUCUAUGGGUUAAAACAAGCGCCAAGAGCAUGGAAUAGUCGCAUCGACAAGUACUUCCAAGAAAACAACUUCACCAAGUGCCCUCAUGAACAUGCUCUUUACGUCAAAGUCAAAGAUGGAGAUAUUUUGAUUGUGUGCUUAUAUGUGGAUGAUCUAAUCUUCACUGGGAGUAAUCCAAGCAUGUUUGAAGAGUUCAAGAAAGUGAUGACCAAAGAAUUUGAGAUGACGGACAUCGGGCUAAUGGCAUACUACCUAGGCAUUAAAGUUAAGCAGAGCGAAGAAGGCAUUUUCAUCUCCCAAGAAAGCUACACAAAUGAGAUACUGAAAAAGUUCAAAAUGCACGACUGCAAGCCCAUAAGCACGCCAGUGGAGUGUGGAGUCAAACUAACCAAGCAUGAUGAAGGAGAAAGUGUAGAUCCAACAUUUUUCAAGAGUCUAGUUGGAAGCUUGCGCUACUUGACAUGCACAAGACCAGACAUUCUCUAUGUCGUCAGAUUAGUCAGUCGCUACAUGGAGAAUCCCACAACUACACACUUGAAGACUGCCAAAAGAAUUCUUCGAUACCUUAAAGGUACUAUUAACUUUGGCUUGUUCUAUUCAAGUUCUAGUAACUACAAACUUGUUGGAUAUAGCGACAGUGAUUGGGCAGGAGAUUCUGACGAUAGAAAAAGCACUACUGGAUUUGUGUUCUUCAUUGGAGACACUGCAUUCACAUGGAUGUCGAAGAAGCAACCGAUUGUCACACUAUCUACAUGUGAAGCUGAAUACGUAGCUGUUACCGCAUGUGUUUGUCAUGUAAUUUGGCUGAGAAACUUGCUGACAGAAUUAAGCAUGCCACAAGAAGAACCAACAGAGAUCUAUGUCGACAAUAAGUCUGUAAUAGCUCUAGCAAAAAAUCCAGUAUUUCAUGACAGGAGCAAGCACAUAGAUACCCGCUAUCACUACAUAAGAGAGUGCAUUGCAAGAAAGGAUGUGCAAGUGGAAUACGUGAAGUCUCAAGACCAAAUUGCAGACAUAUUCACUAAGCCACUUAAGCAAAAAGUCUUUAUCAGACUGAGAAACUCAAUCGGCGUCACAAGCAAGAUUAAGAGGGGAUGUUGAAAGGUAAUCUUGCUUCUAGAAUGGCCGGUGCAUGCAUUGAAAAUGCUAGACAAUUCUAGCAUGAAUAUGGCAUGUGUUCAUUAUGUUCAUAAGCAAAGUCUAUGUUGGUGGGCUACUUUAAGAGAAUCAAGAAUAAUGGCUAGGAUGAUUUCACACUUGGUAUUCACACUUGGUAUGGUUGGUUAUGCUUGCCUAUAAAUAUAGGUGAGUGUGUUGUAAUGUAAGAUAUAAGAAGAAGAAAAGAGAAGUGAGAAAGAAGAAGAAGAAGUAAGAGAGACAAGAAGGCUCUCUAAAGUGAGAAUAAGUAGAGAAGCAUUCAUAGCUUCCAAGAGUGUUUGAGUGAUUUCUCUUGUAUUAGUUUGUGUGAGAAUAAGAAAAGUUUUGAGUGUUACCUUGAAUAUUCUUUUUCUCUUGCCUAUCAAUUUCCGCUGUGUUACAUUCUUAUUUGUGAGAUAGACAUCUCCAAAGUAGAGAAGUCUUUUAAAUCCCAACAGGCUGCAGCUGGUGGUGGUUGAAGCUGUGUGUGCGUGCGUUGUCAAUGAUGUAUAACAGAAACACAGAUUGAAUUAGUUGCUUAGGAAUCUUGCUAUCUGUGACUAUACACAAACACAGUACGUGUUGAGCCAAAAUCAUGCAUCCAUCUUGCAUUAACAACAGAUGGCAGAGGCUUGAACGGAACAAAAUGUUGCAAAUAACCAAAAUCAAAGUAUAUCCAAACUGCCACUACAGCGGUUGUUUUUAACCAAGAAAACAUGCCUCCGAUCCGAUUUCAGUAUAGAAGGAAGAAAAAAAAUGAAAUAAAAAUACAGCAUUUAUAAAUUUAUGUGGGUUGAUUAUUAUAAUCUCAGACUUGGCAAUGUAUGUUUUACAGUAUAAUUGAACAUAAAAUAAUGGAAGAGCCUUUACAAGUUAGAAGGAACGAUCCAACGAACGAACAUCAUCUAUAUAUAUAUAUAAAGUGAGAAUCUCAAAUAGGUGAAGCUUUUAAUAUUUCAAUUAUGUCCUCAUUUUGAUAGAGAAAAUAAUUAACAACUACCCAACCAAAUUUCCCAAACCCAAAUUAAAUAAAUCAUACAAUAUAUUGCUAUACACUAACAAAAAGUUCCAGUCUUUAACGUUCAGCAAAAUGAAUGCAUAGCUGAAAGGUUAACAACAAAUUCAUGACGUUGUUUCAUACCUUAUUGACAUUGAGAUCAGUAGGCCAGUAAUGGAUUGUAGAAGUAUUUGAACGUUUCCAAAGAUGAUCCAAAUGAAAUAAGGCCCCCAUUUGUGAUUCUCAAUUUCGUUCAAUUUCCUAAAAAAACUUAGACCGAAAUUGAACUCGGAUGUCAAUUGGGAUAACAUUAUAGUUAAAUGAAUGAUGAUUAAGUCAAACAAUUUACUACCUGGGUAGGGUCGGUGGGCUAAGUACAAAUUUGGUACUUCUUGUUGACCAUUGGAAAUUAUGAGAACUUUCUCGGCGUCUCUGUCGUCGUUUGUGCUUCCGAAUUGCGACAAUGGUGUCCUAUCGUAUGGCCAACAGCAGCACCGAGUAGCCCUCAUAGUCUAUGUGCUCUCUGGUCAAGUUCACUUUCCUUGAAUCCACCGUCCGGUAAAAAACUCAAACACACGCACAAAAUCGAAAAUUGAAAAAAAAAAAAAAACCCCAAAGAUAGAGAUAAAGAGGACCCACCUGAAGAGCGAGCGAAGAGCUGGGCCUUGUCGAGUUGGGAUGAGUGGCCGUAGACGGCUUUGAGGGUAUCGUGAAUUGGUUGGGAUCGGAAGGUUUUCGUGUUUUGCCAUUUGUGCCAUCAACUUGAUUAAACACACACUGAAAGCUCCCCGUGACGGUGACGCAAGCAAACAAAAGCUUUAAGUUAUCUAAUUCGACAAUAUUUAGGAAACUCUUUGAUGAAGACGACGAUGAUUGGAUUAUAUAGGACACUGAAGUGAAUAAAUUCUUGGGUACCUGGAGGACAUGGUAAUGAAGGCGACGGCGGAGGCAGAAGUGAGAGAAGAUUCAGAUGACUGAAUGCUUAGAAGGCUGGAGACUAUUGGUGAUGAGGGCAGCGGAGAAUGAUGCGUUUUGGUACACUGAGCUGUUGGGUUUUAAAACACUUCUCUACUUUGGAGAUGUCUAUCUCACAAAUAAGAAUAUAACAGCGGAAAUUGAUAGGCAAGAGAAAAAGAAUAUUCAAGGUAACACUCAAAACUUUUCUUAUUCUCACACAAACUAAUACAAGAGAAAUCACUCAAACACUCUUGGAAGCUAUGAAUGCUUCUUCUACUUAUUCUCACUUUAGAGAGCCUUCUUGUCUCUCUUACUUCUUCUUCUUCUUUCUCACUUCUCUUUUCUUCUUCUUAUAUCUUACAUUACAACACACUUACCUAUAUUUAUAGGCAAGCAUAACCAACCAUACCAAGUGUGAAUACCAAGUGUGAAAUCAUCCUAGCCAUUAUUCUUGAUUCUCUUAAAGUAGCCCACCAACAUAGACUUUGCUUAUGAACAUAAUGAACACAUGCCAUAUUCAUGCUAGAAUUGUCUAGCAUUUUCAAUGCAUGCACCGGCCAUUCUAGAAGCAAGAUUACCUUUCAACAUGAGCGACUGUUUGAAUUUCUCUCCUGUUUGCAGGGAUGGAGUGACCCGUUGCUCACUUUAAACGUGCAGUAUAUGGCAGUUCCAUCUCUGCAAUUUGCAACCGAUGCAAGUUCUGUGGAGAGUUACAUCUUUGCAGUUUGCAACUGCAAGUCUGCAACUGCUGUGGAGAGUUCCAUCUCUGCAGUUUGCAACCGCUGCAACUGCUGUUAAGAGUUCGUGCUUCGUGCCAUUCUAAAGUAUUUUUUUCCUUUAUUUAUUUAUUUAUUUACUUCUUGUUUUCUGUAUAGCAGAAAGAUAGAAUGUGACGAAGUAGUUAUAGGAUGAUUAAUUUAAGGGAUGAUAAAGAAUUUAAAGUGUAUGUGUUUUCAUCUAGUGAUUCAUAUUGUCAUUGUUGUGAUGGGUGCAUAUAUUGUUUGCAGUGGAUAAUUUUGUUUUUCAACUUGUAAAUGAUUUAUAAAUAGUAACAUAUUUACGAAUUUGACCCUUUUUUUGUGAGCGGUUAUCCGUGUGCUUUAUGUAUGAAAUGAGGGCAUUCUUGGUAUUUUCGAAUGCUUCACCAAACUGGGCUUCUCCCAAUAUAUACAAAUGAAUGAUGAUUCCCAUAUUAAAAGCAAUAUAUGAAAUUUGCUUCUGCAGAUACGCCAUAAUGGAUCAUCACUUUUGCUUCGAGGUGGGCGUCUCUUGCAACAAUAUGCUGUAGAUAACUACAUUAAAAUUGAAUCACAAAAACUUCGAUGGCUGCGUUCUAAUCAAGCCACAGUUAGAGCGGAUCUCUAUAAAGGACUUCAAGACUCUUUAAAUGCAGGUCAACACAAUGCAGGUAUAUAUAUCAUUUCAGUUAUCGUUAUUUAAAAUAUAACUUUGUUCAAAAUCUGUACAAUAUAUAUAGUUAAUUGAAAAUAAAAAAUUAACAGGUAGCAUUGGGCGUAGAAUUAUUUUACCAUCAUCAUUUGUUGGAAGCCCACGUGACAUGUACCAACGAUAUCAAGAUGCAAUGACUCUGGUUCAAAGAUUCGGAAAGCCAGAUCUUUUUAUUACCAUGACAUGUAACCCAAGUUGGGAAGAAAUCAAAAGUGAAUUACUCGCUGGACAAACUCUACAAGAUCGUCCUGACUUACUUACUAGAGUAUUUCGUGCAAAACUUGAGCAACUAAAAGAAGACAUCAUUGAAAAGGGGGUACUGGGCAAUGUUGUUGCCUACGCAUACGUUAUUGAGUUUCAGAAACGUGGUCUUCCACAUGUGCAUAUGCUGGUGGUGUUAGAUGAAAAUGAUAAGAUCAAUAACCCAGAUGAGUAUGACCGAAUUGUUAGAGCUGAAAUACCAAACGAAGACGUAGAGCCUCAACUUUACAAUGUGGUGUUAAAGCAUAUGAUUCAUGGCCCGUGUGGGAUUCAUAAUUCUCAAUCUUCAUGUAUGAAAAAUGGGAGCUGUAAGAGAAAGUAUCCCAAACCAUUUGCACCAGACACUGUUCAAGGGAAUGAUUCGUAUCCAAUUUAUCAAAGGCGAGGAAAUCGAUUGGCUCUUCUCUCUAUGUCGACAAGGGGAAACAUAAUGUGUUGAGAAUUAGGUUUGGGUGAUUCGAUAUAAAAUGUUGCUUUUUUAAGGUAUGAUUGUCAUUCAAUGUUGAAUUAAUGAAGCAAUAAAAAGUUGUCAAGUACUUAUAAAAGUUUGUUACAUACAAAGGCCACGACAAGUGACCAAAUCGAGUGCCAACAACCCUGAUACCGUGAAAUAAAAAGUUUCAGGAUGCAACCUUAGCCAGAGGCUUAAAAGAAAGAAGUGGUCUAAACCCAACUAAUCGUAACAAGGUUCCUAAUAACAUAUGUUCGAGUUCGUCCGACAUUGGCAUAAUUAAUAUUCUUAAUGAUGAGAGUUACAAGAAAGACAAUGUUAAUGAAUUUUUAUAUUAUGCACCAAUUAAUUUAUGAUGCAUCCACAAGCGCGAACUCCGUUAUACCAUGGGAAAUCCCAUCCAAACAGAAAAUGGAUUCAGCUCAAAAAAUUGGUCUAUAGCAUGAAAUCGUUAACAAGGUUCAUUGGACGAAUAUAUUGCAGUUUCACCUGCAUCUCAAGGUGAAAAUUUUUACCUUCGGAUUCUUCUUAAUCAUGGUUAGCGGGACUAACAUCUUUCCACAAACUUGAGAAUUUUAAGGCAGUUCGAUGGGCGAACGUUAGGAAAUGAUAUUGACUUGCCAUUUUGGGGGGUCAAAAAUUUGAUUAUAUUGGGGGAAGAAAAAAAAUUUUUUUUCGACAAGUUCUUUCCCUGUUAUCCGGAAAGAACCAAGUCUGAACUAAUCCAAGCAAAGUGUUGUUAAGGCAAUGGUCAUUUUGGAACGGUAAGAUUUUAAAACAUCAACAAAACAUUAAGAGUCCAUAAAUGAUUCGUGAAUUUUCAGAAUUUUUACUUACCAUUUGGGGGAAAAUAAUGUAUUUGGGGAGAUUUUCGACAAGUUCUUCCUGUUAUCCGGAAAGGAACCAAGUCUGAACUAAUCCAAGCAAGUGUUGGUUAAGGCGUCAUUUUGUCACAGGUAAGAUUUUAAAACUCAAACAAAACAUGAGAUCCAUAAAUGAUCGUGAAUUUUCAGAAUUUUUACUUCGUGUUGGUGAUGGGAAUGAAGAUGUUAUUAUGGAUGAUAUGGUAAAACUAUAUGAAUGCAUGGUGAUACCAUGGGAGAGUGAGCAUUCCAUUAAUCAAUUAAUUGCCAAAAUCUUCCCUGACUUAGAGGAUCAUAUGAAUGAUGCAACCUACAUGGUUGAAAGGGCAGUGGUAACUCCUACAAAUGAAGACGUUGAUAUGUUAAAUAAAAAGAUAAUGAAUAUGUUUCCAGGUUUAGAAGAGACAAUGUAUUCAUUUGAUUCAGUUGAGGAUGAUGAAAGGAAUUUGUAUCAACCAGAGUUCUUGAAUUCAAUCUCACUUGGUGGUUUGCAUCCGCACAAGUUAACUCUGAAAAGAGGUGCUCCAAUCAUGCUUUUAAGGAAUAUUGAUCCGAAAUUGGGAUUGUGUAAUGGUACAAGAUUAUUGUGUCGUGGUUCUUACCGAAAUCUUAUUGAUGUUGAAAUUCUAACUGGACAAUUUGCCGGAUCCAGAGUUUUCUUACCAAGAAUCCCUCUCAAAAGUACUGAUAUUGCUGGGCUUCCAUUUGAACUUACAAGAAAGCAGUUUCCAGUGAAACUAAGUUUCUCUAUCACUAUAAACAAAUCUCAAGGUCAGACAAUACCACAUGUAGGCGUUUACCUUCCAGAUCACGUCUUUAGUCACGGACAAUUUAUAUGUGGCUUUAAUCGGGGGUCUCAAAGUCAACCACAACUGUGUUAGUAAAAAAAUGGCUCAUAGUCGGCAAACAGGUGUAUUUACACGUAGUAUGUAGUAUACAAAGAAGUCUUGCUUCCUUAAUUCCAGCUUAAUAUGGUGAUCACUCCUCUAGGUGAACAAACCGAUUAACAAUAACAUUUGAAUAUGCAUUUAUCACUUGUUAUUUAACUCUUUUUAUUUGAUUUUUUUUCAAAUUUUUUUUCCUCCCCCAACUUUAAUCAUUUGCCAAUUGGGCAAUGCAAUUUUGAAAUACAUUAAAAUCAGGAAAAAAAACUAACACAAUACAGCCUCAAUUUUAUAGCCAGGCGGUGAAAAAUGUACAAAAUACCUCUCGCACGCACGUUAAGUUAACGUGCUGAGAGGCAUAGUAUAUAAUAAAGUGAGAAAGUCUCAAUAUAGGUGAAGCUUUUAAUAUUUCAAUUAGGUACUCAUUGAAUAUAGAAAGAAUAAUUAACAACUACCCAAGGAUAGGGACCCAAAAAAUAGGGACAAAAUAGAAAUUAAACAAUUAAAUUCCACACGUUUGGCAAAUCAGUUUUUUCUCAAAUUGUUGGAUUUCCUUGCCGAGGAGGAUAGGAGGAGGUCAUUCCAUCAGUUUAUAUCUCAAACUGCAGGUGGGCGGGGCGGGGUGGACGUACGAGAAUAGAAUUUAGUUUACAGUGGCUGUACUUGACGGACUGGGAGACUGCAGCCGUGGUGGUUUGAAUGUUGAAUAUUAUCGGUCACCUCAUACAUUCCAGCUCAUGCAAUAAGGUUAGUUAUGGGUGGAUGUAUCAAAUUAGUAUAGUUAAAUAGCCAUUAGGUGUAAGCAUUGUUAUGUUGGAUUAUUUGUUGGUAUUACACAUAGUUUAAAAGAGUGUCUUAGUAUCAAUGUAUCUAAUUACUUGAUCUCUUUCUCUUCUUCCCUUCUCUCUCUUCUAUUCGAUAGAAUGCAGUUUCUGCUUUCUGUGUCUUUCUACAUUGAAUAUGGGAUCGCAUGAUUUAUACUUCGCUCGUUCUAGUGAUGGGUCUGCUUGCAUGCCAUGGUUAAGGCUGGUGAGGAGCAGCAGAGCUAGGAGUAUAUGGAACAGACAUGGACUUCCUAAGUUCUUACAUUGUCUGCAUCGUUUGUUGUCUCCAACUGAUAGCCCUUUUUGUUUGAGGGGGGAUGUUUGGCCGACCACCCUCAUCAUUCCAGCUCAUCAAUAGUUUUAGUUAUUGGAGUCUGUUGUAUCAUUAAAAGUUUAUUCAUAGCUAUUGGUUUGUAAGCUAGUAUGAUUGGCUAGUAUAAACUGUAAUUCUCAUAGUUGAAAGAAUUAAUUCAAAGAUCAAUGUAAUCAAAAAGAAAACAGUAGCUACAGAGGUGUAGAAAUCAGUUUGAGGGGCUGAAAUUCUUUGGGAAGUUGAUGGAUGAGUAUGAAAUUGCAUCGUUCUUAAGUAAUUUUCAAUGCUUGCAAGCCAUGGAGGAUUAAUUGGUGAGGAGCAGCAGAGCUAGGAGUAUAUGGACAAGAAGGACUUCCUAAGUUCUACAUUUCUCAAAGCACUCAUUCAAUCUCCAACUGGGAAACCCAGUUGAGAUUGAGGGGGGAUGUUGAAUAUAUCGGUCCACCUCAUCAUUCCAGCUCAUCAAUAGUUAGUUAGGCUGUUAUCAAAUUAGUUAGUUAAAUAGCUUAGGUUGUAAGCUAGUUAUGAUGGCUAUAUAAACUGUAUUCUCAUAGUUGUAAAGAUUAAUUCAGUAUCAAUGUAAUCAAUUACUUUCUCUCUUUCUCUUCUUCCCUUCUCUCUCUUCUUCUUCGAUACAUGCUCUUUCUGCAUUUCUGUGUCUUUCUACAUUUCUGUUAAUAGUUGAAGCUAUCUGUCUGUGCGUGGGUGGGUGCGUGCGUUUUCAAUGAUGUAUAACGCAAACACAGAGAUUGAAUUAGUUGCUUAGGAAUCUAGCUAUCUGUGACUAUACACAAACACACUACGUGUUGAGCCAAAAUCAUGCAUCCAUCUUGCAUUAACCAAAAUCAAAGUACAUCCAAACUACCACUACAGCGGUGGUUUUUAACCAAGAAAGCGUGCCUCCGAUCCAAUUCAUUAUAAAAGGAAAAAAAAAUGAAAUAAAAAUACAGCAUUUAUAAAUGGGAGUUUUAACGAAAAGCCUGCGGUACUGUUCAUUUUAACAAAAAACCACAUUUUUACAUUAAAAAGUUAAACUUGGUACUAUUCAUCUUUUAUUUUGUCCUUAUCGUUAAAAGUCAAAGUUUUCAAACCAUUUUCAUUAGUUUUUCUUUUAUAAAUUUAUGUGGGUUGAUAAUCAUAAUCUCAGACUUGGCAAUGUAUGUUUUACAAGUAUGAUUGAACAUAAAAUAAUAAUAAUGAUGAUAAAAAGGAGAUGUCUGAAUAAGAAAACUAAUGAAGAGGACUUGAAAACUUUGAGUUUUAAUGAUAAUAACAAAAUAAAGGGUAAAGUGAAUAGUACCAGGUUUGACUUUUUAGUGUAAAAAUGUGGUUUUUCGUUAAAGUGAACAAUAUCGUGGGCUUUUCGUUAAAACUCCCUUAAAUUAAUGGAGACGAAAGAGCCUUUACAAGUUAGAAGGAACGAAUGAACCAACAUCAUAAAAAUUAAAAGAAAGAGAAAGAAAAAGACAAAACCAACGGUAAAACCCAGAAACAAAACAAGUCCACCAAAGCCCCCUAACCCUAACAACAAGGUUUCUAUCAGAGGAAAGGAGGGCGCCGCCCCUGGCAAUGGUCUUUCUCUCUCUUAACCUUCAGUUGCUGCUUAACCUUCAGCUGUUACUGAGAAGAAGAGAGAGAGAGAGGACACCAUUCAAGGCGGCAGAGAAGAGGCUGGGCAACAAUUGUUUGGGGUAUUUCUCUUUCGACCAAACCCUAGUUGAGUAGUUAGCUAGGGCUUUCCUUUUCCCCCGAUAUAUGAUUCUCUGUCUUUGUCUGUUGUUAGUUCUCACUUUUAUCCUUCUUGCAGGGGCAGUCUAGUGCGGAGAAACAAACAAAAAAACACAAUGGGGCUGCUAGUCUAACAGCUUCCUUGCCGACAUGAGCCAGAGCAAAUUAUGGGGUAUGGUGACACUCCCCUCCCCUCGUAUUUAUUUCAUUUAUUUACUAACUAACUACUUAAGGGAUAAUUAAUUUGAUUUGUUUCAUUUAUUUUUCAAUACUAAGGUAAUUAAUAUUUGAUGCAUAUCGGAUGUCCUCCUUUGUUAUAUAUUGGACUAGAUUAUUGAAACGAAUCCAAGUGGAUUGGAUUGAUCUCUAAACUUAUCAACCCAUACUUAGGGAUCCCUAUUGAAAUUCAAGUUAUGUUACAAGCAAAAAGAAGAUAUAAAACUCUUGUGUCCACCCCAACCAACUUACUUGGGUCCGGCUAGCAUAAAGAAAACCUAUCAAUUCCAAUUCCAAUCCCAAUCCCAAUCCCACUUAAAUUGGUGGUAGGCAAGGUUCUAAAAAUCGCUAGGCGCUAGUUGGGCGGUGGGCAUGGGCCUAGCGCUUAGACGGCUAGGGGGCCUAGGGGGAUUUAUGUAAAUUUAUUAUAUAUCUUGUAAUUAAGUGCCUAUUUACACCUAAAAAAAAACUAUAUGCAAAUUAGGUACACCAUUUCCAUAAGUACUGGAUUAACUUGUAGUAAAUCCAUCAUUUGCAAAUUAGGUACACCAUUUUCAUAAGUAUACCACCAUGAAACCAAAAAAGAAAAAAGCACACAAUUAAUAAAAAAAAAAAUAUAAAACCCCUAGGACCGCCUAGCUACCGCCUAGGCGCCGCCUAGGGCUGCCUAGCUUCUAGCCGAUUUUUCCAAACUCCUUGCCCAAAAUCGGGACGGAGGCGGCGCCUAUGCCGAUUUUUAGAAAAGUGGUGGUAGGGUAGGAGAAAGGGAGAUAACAUGAUAAAUAGUAGGGAUCAUUCUUCAACUAUCUUCAAUAUCUACCUUCAACUUGUAGGCUUCCCCGUUCUAAUCCAUAUCCCUAGAGACGACCAAACAAGGCCUUGAAGUAACGUUUUAGCUACCGGUUUUGAUUUAUGUUCUUAUCAAAUGAAAUGAAAUGAAAUAAAUUAAACCCUAAUUUUAUUGUUUUAGAGUCCGUUACGUUGCCUCUUCCUCCCUCCAUUGCCUUCUCUCUUGUCAAUUCUUCCUUUUUUUUUUAUUCCUCAGAUUGUCGUCCAUGUCCAUUCGUUCUUAGUGAUGAAUUAUCAUCACAAGCCAGCUUUGUUGAUAACUUGGGGGAUAAUAGGUUGCACUCUCAUGUCAUUAACUAUUGUUUGCUUAAUUUUAAUGAAGAUGAGUAUUGAUGCAUUAUCUUAUUUAUCAUAUUUGAAGGAGAAUAUAUAGGUUCAAAGUGAAUUGGUUAGAUGUGAUCCAAAAGGAUGUUCACAGUCAAGGAGUAGAACAUACAUGUCACUACAACAAAAGUAAUCAUUACCGACAAAGAUUUUCCGACGGCCCAAAAAAACCGUCGUAAAAAGCACAUUUUGCGACCAUAAAAUAUAGGCGUCGGUAACAUGACAUGAAACAAAUUUUUAUUACCAACGCACACAAUGUCCUCGGAAAAAGUCUCAAGUUUCGUCGGAAAUGCACUUUUGUUUGGUGGGAAGAAUUGGCGCCAGUUGUAUUAACGACGAGUAAAGUUCUUAUCGGAAAUAUAAUGGUUAUUUACGAAGAUUUACUCAUUUUGACGAAAUUGAUUUAGUAUUUUUGAGGGAAAAAAAGUCCUCUUGGUAAUGUUUUUAUAUUUUUGAGGGAAAAAAAGUUCUCUCGGUAAUGCUUUUAUAUUUUCGAGGGUGAUUAGUUGUUGUCAGAAGUAAUUAUAUUUUUUUCGACGAAAUUUUUUUUCUUUGUCAGAGUAAAUUUUUAAGGCAUGGUUUUGUGGGAAUCAAUUAUUUACCAAUGGUCACAUGUGUAUUCUUCAAACAAGUUUGAUGCUUAAUUUAAAUUGAAGAUCGAAUUUGUUCAUUGUACUCUUUAUAGGGUUGAGGAGUGUAUUUAUAAAAAAUCAUCAAAAUUUGAGUUAUAAUAACAGUUAAAUCGUGAGCUUUCGUUUAUAACCGUCGAAAUGUUUCGUCUCGUUACCUAAUAUCUGAAUGUCAGUUUUGCGAUUUUUUACGUAUGCAAUCUUGGAGCAUAUACAAACAAGUUUGACGGUUAGAUCGUUGAAACUAGUUUUGUAGAAUGGGUAAUCCUUCAAAACGAUAGAUUCAACAAACACUUGGAGUUUAUUUUAUACUUCUAUUAAGUAGAACAUAAUAUUUUGUGGUAUCCACUAGUAAAAUUUUUUAAAUUGGAGAUCGAAUUCGUUCAUCGUACUCUUAUAGGGUUCAGGAGUGUAUUUGUAAAAAAUCAGCAAAAUCGGAGUUAAAAUAACCGUUAAAUCGUGAGUUUUCAUUUAUAACCGUUGAAAGGUUUCAUCCCAUUAACCUCUUCACAAAAGUUGUUGAGCUUGAUAUUACGAGUGUUUGUAGAUUUUUUUUUUGUACUUCUACAUUAAUUAAAAAAACUAUUAAAAAUCAGAACAAGACAUACUUCUACAUUAAUAAUCAUAGGAUUUAAUCUCACUUAUGUGAGAUUAAAUCCUUACCGUGUGUUUUGGAGAGCUGUCAAAAUUUUGGCAUGGCGCCUUUUAUUUUUAGCUCUCUAUUUUCAAAACUUUGGCAUGGCGCCUAAAAACUUAACUCUCUAUUUCCAAAGACAACACCGAUUAUCCCUUUCUCACAGCUUCUCUAUAUUUCCUCUUCAGAAACAAAACCCUAGCCUCCAUCCUCCAUUCUCUAGUAGCCAUACGUGAUGAUGAUAGAAACCAUGAAAUCCUCACACAUGUUGUUUUUCAGUUUAUAUCUUAUGAGGUCUGACAUAUAUAUUUUCAGGUCUCGCCUAGAUUUGAGAUUUGGAAGCAGAAAACGAGAAGGCUAAGAGGAUGGUGAAGGACGUGGCAACUUACUUCUCUAUGACUUUGGGUGCUUUUGUGUUCUGGCAAUCCAUGGAUGAAGUCCACGUCCGGACGAAAAGGCAAUCAAAGGUAAAAUAAUUGACUUAAUUGUUUUAAAUUAGAAUAAAGUACCCUAAAACUUCGAAGUUAAUCUUUUAUCGUUCAAUUUAUUUCAUUCUAUGCAAUGAAUCUUCAUUAUGCCUUAAAUUCUAUACGUAAGAUAGUUGGGCAAUACAUGGCAUUUAGGCUUGUUUGAGUAGCAUUGGGGUUUGGAAAUGAAAAGAAGCAGCACAUUUGUUUUGGUGAUGUGGGGUUCUUUCUUAAUUGGGUUUCAGCUUUUUAACUUUCUCUCUCUUGAUAGAUUAAUGCGUUUAAUAAUGUUAGAUAUGUUAUAUAUACACAGGACUGAGGCUCGUGCUGGUAAUGCAUAUGAGGGAGCUAGAUAUGAGGCUAUGAGUAAGAGCGGAAAGCUGGCAAGUGGUGAUAGUGCCUCCAGGAGAAUGGAAACUACUACUACUAGUGUUGUUUCUUCUCUUAUUUCUCAUUAUAAUGGGUUGUCACUUGGAAGCAACAAAAGCGGAGGAGCAUUUGAUACUUGUAGUUAAUGCGGAAGUUGUUGGAAGGUAAGUUUUCUUGUGUAUUUUUAGUAUUUGAUAACUGAGUGAAAACAACAUUUUCUUUUCUUUUCUAAUCCAGAUGAGUCAUGUUUUGUUUAUGCAGUGUACAAAGGAAAGCCAUCGUCUUGUGGAUCGUAGGAUGGCGGAGAUAUGGAAUUUUAAAGAGCAACACAUGUAUUGUUUUCUUUUAGCAUGUGUUGCUCUUUAAAAUUCCAUAUCUCCGCCAUCCUACGAACUACAAGAUGACGACCUUCCUUUGUACACUGCAUAAACAAAACAUGACUCAUCUGGAUUAGAAAAGAAAAGAAAAUGUUGUUUUCACUCAGUUAUCAAAUACUGAAAAUACACAAGAAAACUUACCUUCCCACAACUUCCGCACUGACUACGAGUAUCAGAUGCUCCUUCACUUUUGUUGCUACCAAGUGACAACCCAUUAUAAUGAGAAAUAAGAGAAGAAACAACGCUAGUAGUAGUAGUUUCCAUUCUCCUAAAGGCACUAUCACCACUUGCCAACUUUCCACUCUUACUCUCAGCCUCAUAUCUAGCACUAUGCAUUACCAGCACGAGCCUCUGUCCUGUGUAUAUAUAACAUAUCUAACAUUAUUAAAUGCAUUAAUCUAUCAAGAGAGAGAAAGUUAAAAAGCUCAAACCCAAUAAAGAAAGAACCCCACAUCACCAAAACAAAUGUGCCACUUCUUUUCAUUUCCAAACUCCAAUGCCACUAAAACAUGCCUAACUGCCAAGUAUAGAAUUUAAGGAAAACUAAUAAAAAUGACUUAAAAACUUUGAGUUUUAACGAUAAUGACAAAAUAAAGGAUAAAGUGAAUAGUACCAGGAUUGACUUUUUAGUGUAAAAAUGUGGUUUUUUAUUAAGGUGAACAGUACUGGGAGCUUUUCGUUAAAAUUCCCUAAAAUUUAAGGCAUAAUGAAGAUUCAUUGCAUAGAAUGAAAUAAAUUGAACGAUAAAAGAUUAACUUCGAGGUUUCAAGGCACUUUAUUAUAAUUUAAAACAAUUAAGUCAAUUAUUUUAACUUUGACUGCCUUCAGAGAUAACUUGGUGGUUGGUAACAUUGCCAUCCGCGGUUACGUACACUUUUCUCUCCUUGUCAAAUGUUGGGAAUGCAAUGUGGUGGAUAUAAGGGAGUGUCAUUCCUUUAUAAUAUACCCCAAUCAUUGCCUCAUGGAUUGCUGAUGCACCAAAUACACCCACAUUGGGAGCCUCAUCCCUCUUCCUUUUCUUCAACCCAAAGCCAGUGAUAUUUUCUUCAUAUGUUCCCCACCCAAGAAGUGUCGGAACAUGGGUAUGGGCCUUGCAAGGCUCAUCUAGCGACGGCACGUAGACUCCGUGCUUGUAAUUGCGGAAUUGUUGAUCUAUUGAGAUAAUGUGAACAAUGGAGGGAUGCGUUAGAAGCGCCUUCAUCAUUUGCAUCUCAAUAGCCCUCUGAUUAACAUUGAUAUUGGGCACCCGCAUUCGAUUAGACAUAGAAAUAUCGGGUGUAAUUGGAAUUUGCUGGAUGAACCAUUUAAAACUAUGGAUCACAGCUUUGACUUCUCUUCUCUCUGGUCAAGUGUUUGUGUGGGUAUGCAUGAAUAGUUUUUUAUUUUCGAGCCCCCCAAUCUUAUUCAACAAGUGUCCCCUUCUUCGACUCGCCAAAAGUUUUCCAACAUUAUAUCGUGUUCACUUAUGAAUUGAAAGCAAUCUACUGGCCUAGACUCACUAGCAGACUGAUAAGCUAAUAUGAUAGCUAUCAUCUCAAUUUUUUCACAUGAAGAGGAUGAACCAAUGUCCUUGCCAGUGUGUGGUUCUACUUCAAAUAUGUAGGGCGCACCAACAUGGAGUGCCAAGUCUCUCACAGAGACCCUUGGUCUAACCCUGUAUUUGUAAGCCAGGGCGGCCUCCAUUGUCUGUGCGACUGCAUGAGCAACACAUGUAUGUUAUACUCCUUGACUACGAACAUCCUUUUGGAUCAUAUCUAACCAAUUCACUUUGAACCUAUAUAUUCUCCUUCAAAUAAGAUAAUGCAUCAAUACCCAUCUUCAUUAAAAUUAAGCAAAAAAUAGUUAAUGACAUGGGAGUACAACCUAUUAUCCCCCAAGUUAUCAACAAAGCUGGCAUGUGUUUGUUGAAUUAUGGCCAAACACCUUUCGGCUAAUUAACAAACCAAAAGAAAAAAAAGGUGAAAGACAUCAUGAUGAGGAGACAUCAUGAUGAUGUUUUUUUUCUUUUGUGGUUUUUUUUAUUAACCAUAAUUAUUUGGUUUUCGGGUAGAAGAAAGGAGGAGAAGAAGAGAGAGCUCAUUUUUUUUGUCAGAAAUAGAGCUCAUGAGCUGCCUAGAGCAGGAGAGUUGCAGAGAGCCCAAACAGAAAAAAGAAGCUGCUGCUUCAUUUGGUUAGUAAUCAUUCACCAAAAUAGUUGUUGUUGUAAUAACUUUGAGCUAUAUGUAUAGAGAAGAAAUUAUUCAUUAUAUUUCUUUCUCUAUUUGUUUAUGUGGUGUGUGAGAGCUAUUGGGUGUAUUGGGUUAUUUGGGUUGUGAGAUUGCCAACACUCUGUAAACUCCCAUUUGGUUGAUAGUGGAUUAUUGGGUGAGCUCCUACAGCUCCGAGGACGUACUCCAGUUACACUGACUGUUGAGGAACCUCGUUAAAAUCCUGGUGUCUUUAAUAUUUUGUUCUUGCAUUUUCAUUUGAUAAAUUUCCUGUGGGUUAGCUUGAGUUGGUUCCAACGGGUUUGGUGCUAUCCUAGCACAACAAUUGGUAUCAGAGCACUAGUUGCUCUUGGGUACUGUCUAGUUGCCAAAGAUGUCAGACGGGCAAGAUGAAAAUCCUUUGGGAAGCAGCUCCGGGUUUGCAAGAACUACGGUGCAAAAUCCAAAGUUCGAAGUGGAAAAGUUUGAUGGCACAAACAACUUCGGAAUGUGGCAAUGUGAGGUCAAAGAUGUGUUGGCUCAACAAGAUCUACUUACCGCUUUGGGAGAGAAGCCAGAAGCUAUGUCGAAGCCGGAAUGGGAGAAAUUAAAUUUGUGGGCUUGCUCUUCAAUUCGGUUGUGCCUUGCAAAAACUCAGAAGUAUUUUGUGAUGCGGGAGACGGUAGCAAGUGUGUUGUGGCAAAAAUUGGAAGACAAGUAUAUGACGAAGAGUGCAGAGAACCGACUACACUUGAAGAAAAAGCUCUACCGCUUCCAAUACAAAGAAGGUACAAAAAUGAUUAGACACCUUGAUGCUUUUAAUAAGUUGAUUGCCGACUUGUUAAAUUUAGAUGAGGAUAUUAAGGAUGAAGAUAAGGCCUUAAUAUUGUUGAAUUCAUUGCCGGACUCUUAUGAGCAUUUUGUUACCACUAUUAUGCAUGGUAAAGAAACUGUGAAAUUUGAAGAUGUGUCAAAUGCCUUGAUGAAUUAUGAAAUGAGGCAUAGAGAUAAAAAUCAUGAUAGUACCUCUGAAGCUUUAUUUGUUAGAGGUAGAUCAUCGGAGAGGAGGUCAUCUUCUAGCAGGAAAAAAUCACAGUCUCGACCUAGAGGAAACUCUAAAGGUAGAAAACCUUUGGAAAGGGAUGAAUGUGCCUUUUGUCGUAAUAAGGGCCAUUGGAAGAAAGAUUGUCCUAAAUUGAAGACCAAAGGCAAAGAAAGUUCUGAAGCUAAUGUUGCUGAGGUUGAAACAAAUUUUUUCUGAUUUUGCUUUAACCACUUCCUCAUCAUCAUUUGAUUGUGCUACUAAGUGGGUGUUGGAUACGGGUUGUACUCAUCAUAUGACUCCUCACAAGGAUUGGUUUUCAAGCUUGAAAGAGUUUGAUGGUGGCGUUGUGUUUCAUGGGAGAUGACAAUCCUUGCACAACAAAAGGGAUUGGUACAGUUCGUUUGAAGUUGCAUGAUGGCAUGGUUAAAGAGUUGACAGGUGUUCGGUAUGUACCGAAUUUGAAGAAAAAUAUUAUUUCUUUGGGUACUUUGGAAUCCAAGGGCUUCAGGUUUCAUUCAGAUGGACAGACAUUGAAAGUUACUUAUGGUGCACUUGUUGUGAUGAAAGCUCCUAGAUGUGGCCAUUUGUAUUUAUUGCAGGGAAGCACUGUGACAGGUGAAGCAUCUGUAGUCUCUAAAAAUAUGGGCACAUCUGAUUCAGAUACUACUAGAUUGUGGCAUAUGAGAUUAGGCCAUGUCGGUGAGAAAGCUCUACAAGGGCUUGUGAAAAAAGGUCUUCUAAAAGGUGCCACGACUUGUAAGCUUGAUUUCUGCGAGCAUUGUGUCUUGGGGAAGCAAACUAGAGUGAAGUUUGGUACUGCUGUACAUCAGACGAAUGACAUUCUUGAUUAUGUGCAUUCGGAUGUUUGGGGUCCUACAAAGACUCCAUCUUUGAGUGGUAGACAUUGGUUCGUGACCUUGGUUGAUGAUUAUUCAAGAAGGUCUUGGGUUUACACUAUGAAGCACAAGAGUGAGGUAUUGAGCAUUUUCUUGAGUUGGAAUAAAAUGGUUGAGAACCAGACUGGGAGAAAGAUUAAGAUUUUGAGAUCGGAUAAUGGUCGUGAAUACACAUCCGACCCUUUCUUUAAAGUUUGCAAAGAGGAAGGAAUUGUGAGACAUUUUAGUGUUCGGGGAACUCCACAACAAAAUGGAGUUGCAGAAAGAUUGAAUCGAACCUUGCUUGAGAAGGUUAGAUGUAUGUUGUCUCAGUCGGGUUUAAGCAAGUCAUUUUGGGCAGAAGCAGUUAAUUAUGCAUGUCACAUCAUCAACAGGUUACCCUCAGCUGCUGUUCAGGGUAAGACACCAAUGGAGGUAUGGACUGGAAAACCUUCUUCUGAUUAUGACUAUAUCCGUAUUUUUGGUUCACCUGCUUAUUUUCAUGUGACUGAAAAUAAACUUGAUCCUAGAGCCAAAAAGGCUAUCUUUCUUGGUUUUAGUAGUGGUGUCAAAGGUUACAGGUUGUGGUGUCCAGAGAUGAAGAAACUGGUAAUUAGUAGAGAUGUGACAUUUGAUGAAGAAAGUAUGUACAAAGGCUCUGAGAAUAAUGUGAAAGAUGUCCAACAGGUGGAGUUUGAGAAAGUUGCCUCUGGUACUUCAAAUCCUAUUUCCGCUGAUGUCGAAGCCACUACAAGUGAAGAAGUUGGAGACCAUGAGGAUGUUGAAGAAGUCGAACUUGAAGAUUCUAUUCAAGUUGAAGAGGAAGUUUCACCUCAAGAGUCUAUUGCCAAGAAUAGAGGAAAGAGACAAAUUACCAAGCCAGCUCGGUAUAGUGACUAUGUUUCUUUUGCUCUUCCUAUUAUCACUGAUGAGAUUCCAUCCAAUUUUGAGGAAGCUAUUGAGAGUGAAGAAAAGAAGAGGUGGUGCAAUGCCAUGGGUGAUGAGAUGAAUUCUCUCUUGAAGAACAAGACUUGGGAGUUAGCUAAAUUGCCUAAGGGCAAGAAAGCUAUCGGUUGCAAAUGGGUGUAUGCCAAGAAGGAAGAUGCUGAUGAGAAAAGCAAUGUGAGAUUCAAAGAAAUAUUAGUUGCUAAAGGGUAUGCACAAAAGGAGGGCAUUGACUACAAUGAAAUAUUUUCUCCGGUUGUGAAACACUCCUCAAUUCGCAUUAUGUUAGCUCUUGUUGCACAGUAUGAUCUUGAGCUUGUGCAACUUGAUGUGAAGACGGCUUUCCUACAUGGUGAUUUGAAUGAAGAGAUUUAUAUGUGUCAACCAGAUGGGUAUAUAGUGAAAGGGAAGGAGAAUUUGUUUUGCAAAUUGAAGAAAUCACUUUAUGGCUUGAAGCAAUCUCCAAGACAAUGGUAUUUGAGGUUUGAUAAAUUUAUGAGAGGCCAAAAUUAUUCUAGAAGUCAAUAUGAUCAUUGUGUGUACUUCAAGAAGUUGCAAGAUGGGUAUUUCAUUUAUUUGUUGAUAUAUGUUGAUGAUAUGUUGAUUGCCUCAAAGAAUGUCGAAGAGAUUGAGAAAUUGAAAAAGCAAAUGAAGAAUGAGUUUGAGAUGAAGGAUCUUGGUGAAGCAAAGAAGAUCCUUGGCAUGGAGAUCACUAGAGAUAGAGCAAAGGAUUUCGUCAGUUUGAAUCAAAGACAAUACCUUAAGAAGUUGAUUCGGAAGUUUGGAGUUCAUGAUUCAACCAAACCGGUUAGUACCCCUUUGGCUCCUCAUUUUAAAUUGAGUUCUCUACAGUGUCCUAAAACUGAUAAAGAGAAGCUGCAAAUGAAAAAUAUACCAUAUGCAAAUUUGGUUGGUAGUUUGAUGUAUGUAAUGGUAUGCUCUAGACCGGAUAUUGCUCAUGCAGUUGGCAUGGUGAGUCGAUAUAUGCAUAAUCCAGGUAAAGAGCAUUGGCAAGCAGCUAAGUGGAUAUUGAGGUAUCUCCAUGGUACUCGAGAUGUUGGUUUAUGCUUUGAGAGAGAUGACUCUGGUAUUGGUCAUUUUGCAGUUGGUUGUGUUGAUUCAGAUUAUGCAGGUGAUCUGGAUGGAAGGAAGUCUACUACAGGCUAUGUGUUUACUAUGGCUAAAGGGCCAGUUUGUUGGAGGUCCAUUUUGCAGUCGUCUGUUGCCUUGUUUACUACAGAGGCUGAAUAUAUGGCAGUUGCUGAAGCUAUAAAGGAGGCCAUUUGGAUACAUGGGCUGAUUAGAGAUUUGGGGGUUGAUCAGAAGCAGGUGGAGGUACAUUGUGAUAGUCAGAGUGCCAUUUAUUUGGCUAAGUAUCAAGUUCAUCAUGCGAGGACCAAGCACAUAGAUGUGCGUUAUCACUUUGUUCGUGAAAUUGUUGGUGAAGGGGAAAUCAUUCUCCAGAAGAUUCCAACUAAAGAUAACCCCGCUGAUAUGUUGACUAAGGUUGUUGGUGUAGCCAAGUUUGUUCACUGUUUGAACUUGGCUCACAUUAUGCCUAUAUAAAGAAGGCGUUGAACAGUAGGAGUUUUGGAGCAUUUGGCUCGGCAUGAGUUGUUCUCUUGCUAGUGUUUGGGAGUGAUUUUUUGUGUUGAUUGUGUUGGUUGGCUUAUCAUGGCGUUUUCGGAAUUUGGCCAAGGUGGAGAUUGUUGAAUUAUGGCCAAACACCUUUCGGCUAAUUAACAAACCAAAAGAAAAAAAAGGUGUAAGACAUCAUGAUGAGGAGACAUCAUGAUGAUGUUUUUUUUUCUUUUGUGGUUUUUUUUUAUUAACCAUAAUUAUUUGGUUUUCGGGUAGAAGAAAGGAGGAGAAGAAGAGAGAGCUCAUUUUUUUUGUCAGAAAUAGAGCUCAUGAGCUGCCGAGAUCAGGAGAGUUGCAGAGAGCCCAAACAGAAAAAAGAAGUUGCUGCUUCAUUUGGUUAGUAAUCAUUCACCAAAAUAGUUGUUGUUGUAAUAGCUUUGAGCUAUAUGUAUAGAGAAGAAAUUAUUCAUUAUAUUUCUUUCUCUAUUUGUUUAUGUGGUGUGUGAGAGCUAUUGGGUGUAUUGGGUUAUUUGGGUUGUGAGAUUGCCAACACUCUGUAAACUCCCAUUUGGUUGAUAGUGGAUUAUUGGGUGAGCUCCUACUGCUCCGAGGACGUACUCCAGUUACACUGACUGUUGAGGAACCUCAUUAAAAUCCUGGUGUCUUUAAUAUUUUGUUCUUGCAUUUUCAUUUGAUAAAUUUCCUGUGGGUUAGCUUGAGUUGGUUCCAACGAGUUUGGUGCUAUCCUAGCACAACAGUGUUGAUAGGUUUUCUUUAUGCCAGCCAGACCCAAGAAAGUUGGUUGGGGUGGACACAAGAGUUUUAUAUCUUCUUUUUGCUUGUAACAUAACUUGAAUUUCAAUAGGGAUCCCUAGGUAUGGGCUGAUAACUUUAGGGAUCAAUCCACUCGAAUUUGUUUCAAUAAUCUAGUCCAAUAUAUAACAAAGGAGGACAUCCGAAUAUGAAUUACCUUAGGAUUGAAAAAUAAAUGAAACAAAUUAAUUAUCCCUUAAGUAGUUAGUAAAUAAAUGAAAUAAAUAGGAGGGGAGGGGAGUGUCGCGAUACCCCAUGAUUUGCUUUGGCUCAUGUCGACAAGGAAACUGUUAGACUAGCAGCCCCAUUGUGUUUUUUGUUUGUUUAUUCGCACUAGACUGCCUUGCAAGAAGGAUAAAAGUGAGAACUAACCACAGACAGAGAAUUAUAUAUCAGGGGAAAGGGAAAGCCCUAGCUAACUACUCAACUAGGGUUUGGUCGAAAGAGAAUUACCCCAAACAAGUGUUGCCCAGCCUCCUCUUCUCUACCGCCUUCAAUGGUGCUCUCUCUCUCUCUCUCUCUCUCUCUCUCUCUCUCUCUCUCUCUCUCUCUCUCCCCCUCUCUUCUUCUCAGUAGCAGCUAAAGGUUAAGCUGCAGCUAAACGCAGAAAGCCACGAAGAACGAGGCUAGGAAAAAGGCGGGCUAUAAUUCGGGGUCUGGCGAAGUGACCCUACCCUUGAAGUAGGUAGGAGGAGAUUGUGUAACUUCUAUAAGGACUAGUCAAGGAGGUUGUCACUUCUAGCUAAGAUAUGUAAUAAGUGUUUUUACUUGUUCGUAUUGCAUUUUCAGAACAAUUUGUAAUGUUGACGUUAAGUGUAUAUUCGAUAGCCUCUAUGCCUCUAAUUAUUUACUUGUGUUUGGCUUUUGGCAAGAAGACUAUUUUUUAGUAUAGGUUUAGUAGCAUAAAUAGGUUAAGCGUUGGUAGGCUUAUAGCAAGCAGGCUUUUUUUUUUUUUUUUUGAGAAUAUGAUGAUGGGGUGUGUCGUGUGUGUGUAUUUAUCGACUUAUGUUCCCAACAGAGUGCCAGUUGGUGCUUAGUAGGACUCUGUUCAUGGUUUUCUCCAUCUCCUCCCCUCCUCGUCUAUGGUUUUGAUCCCCGCCCCUUCAGAUACAUUUUAAUGGUAUUACAAUGGCACCCAGUCGUACCAACCUUGUCCUUCCAUCUCUUCCGUAUGUCAUCAUCCCACGCUUUCAGUUUCAGUUUUGCCAAGUGCUUGAACAUCUUCCUCGUGUUGGAGUGUGAGAGAAGCUAUAGGGCGUUGGUUUCAUGUCUAAAUUGGCAGCCAGAACGGAUUUCAUUUCCAAGCAUGUAAAAUGUCCAACACAAAUACAUGAAAGUAAAUUUAACGAUGAUUUUUUUUAGAAUUUUUGUUGUGGCCUAUUUUAGUGACAAGGGAAUAAGGGGGUGCGACAAGGGGAGAAAGAGUGGAGAAAGUGUAGGAAUUUCUUUGUGUGAUCAAGUGAGUAUACUUUGGGAUUGUUCCCUUGAGUUUGACAUAAUUCUAAAGAGAACUAACAAUUUACAACUCAAAAAGUUUACGCAUAUAACGUCAUCUUCGGCAAAGACUUGGUGAAGAUGUCGGCCAGGUUGUCCUGGGAAUGGAUUUGCUUGACUUCAAUCUUCUGAUACUCUUGUUGCUGAUGUGAGGGGAAGAACUUUGGCGCAAUGUGCUUGGUGUUGUCUCCUUUGAUGUAUCCCUUCUUGAGUUGUUCAGUACAUGCUGCGUUAUCUUCAACGAUCUUUGUAGGGAUGUCAACGAUGGAAGAAAGUCUGCAGGUGCUUCUAAUGUGUUCCACAACUGCUCUCAGCCAGAAGCAUUCUUGAGUAGAUUCAUGUAGGGCGAGAAUCUCAGCAUGGUUCGAAGAAGGGACAACUAAGGUCUGCUUGGUUGACCUCCAAGAUGUUGCGGUGUCUCUAACGGUAAAGACGUAACCUGUUUAAGAACGUGCCUUGUAUGGAUCGGAUAAAUAACCUGCGUUAACAUAACUAACAAGGCGAGAAUCGACUCAAGAACUAAGGGGGCUGGGGCACCCUUCGAGGAUUCAUGGGAUAGAACAAACUGAAACUCGUCGUACCUUUAAGGUAGCGAAAGAUGUCUUUAACACCUGUCUAGUGUCUACAUGUGAGCGUAUUAUUGUAUCUUGCCAAAAGAUUGACAGCGAAAAAGAUCUUGGGUCUAGUGCACCGAGCUAAGAACAAUAAAGCGUCAAUUGCACUUAGAUAUCAAACUCAGGUUCCAAAAUAUCUUCUUCAUCCUCCUUAGGAUGGAAGAGAUCUCGUUUAGCAUCUAGCGAUCGAAUAACCAUAAGAGUACUCGAAGACUUCACUUUAUCCUCAUUAGAGCGACGCAACAUCUUCUAGGUGUAGUUCAACUGAUGUACUAGAAUUAUAUCCCAACUAUGCUCGAUCUCCAGGUCGAGACAUGUCACAGUAUCGAGUUUUCCAAAGAUCUUUCAUCUCAAAUUCUGACUUUAGGUGUGCAACAGUUUUCUUAAGCUUUUUAGAAGUCACAAUGAGAUUCAUGUUGUCGACAUAAAUUUCAAUGAUCACAAAUCGAGAAUGUGACUUCUUAAUAAACAUGCAAGGUCAUAGUUCAUUGUUCACAUACCCAUAACUUAUCAAAUACUUAUUCAGACGGUUACACCAAUUCUGCCGAGUGCUUCAAUUCGUAGAGUGAAUGCCUCAAUCGGAUGAAGAGAGUGUUCCGUGGUUUAGAACUAUUUGAUACAGUCAAUGUAAGUCCUUCAAGAAAUUUCAUAUAGAUUUUCAUAUCAAGAUCCCUAUAGAGAUACGGAGUUACCACAUCCAUAAGUUGCAUAUCCAAUUUUUCAAAAACCACCAAACUCAUAAGGUAGCGGAACGUAAUCACAUCCAUUACGGAAGAUGUUUCAUCAUUAUUAAUCCCAGGGCGUUGAGAGAAGCCUUGUGCUACAAGACGUGUUUUAUAUCUCACUAUUUCAUUUCUCUCAUUACGCUUCCUUACGAAAACCCACUUGUAGCCAACAUGUUUCACAUGUGGCAGUGUAGGAACUACGAGCCCAAACACCUUGCGUUUCGCAAGAGAAUCAAGUUUGACUUAGAUUGCAUAUUUCUAGUUUGACCAAUUGGUUCUACCUUGACAUUCAUCAACGGAACGAGGUUCAAUGUCAUUACUCAGAAUGAUCCAGUAGUUACUACAUAUGCUAAUGCAUCAUCUAUUAUUAUCUCAUUUCUAUUCCAAAUAUCAUCCAAAGCUAGCAUAAUGGACCAAAAUCUCUUGAUUCUCGGCAGGUGGAUUCAUCUCUUCCAAGACUUUUUCAUAGUCUAGAAUUUCCUCAUGCUUUGGAUAAAAUGAGUAGGCGAUGGUCGGAUUCACGAUAGGCUCACUAUGUGCCGUCGUUUUCCUCUUUUAGGGUUGUGAAUCCUUUGAACCAAAGGGUUUGCCACGUUUCUAGGUAGAAGCAGAUGAUUGGUUAGCCGCCAAUGUAUGGGGGUUGGCCACAUGGGUGUCCCGACCUUCUAGGAGGAAGGUCCAUCGUACAUUUGGUACAUCCAUCUUUGCAGGCAUGAUUGCAGCUGGUAUAUGUGAUCUUGUUAGUCUCGCUAUAUCAGUGAAAGCAUCUGGUAUGCUCCGAGUUACGAUCUGAAGACCAAGGAUAUGUUGCACUUCAGUCUCAGACAGGCAAUGCGAGGAUCUAAAUGAGACAAAGUGGGAGUCGUCCACGAUAAUUCACGUCAUUAUUUUAGAACGUUGACAUUCUUAUCACCCCUUAAUGACGGGAAAACUAUCUCUUAGAAGUGACAUUCCGCAAAACGAGCGGUAAGAUAUUGCUUGUCAAAGGUUCUAAGUAACGAAUAAAAGAAGGAGAAUCACAACCGACAUAGAUUCACAUCUUUAUUUCAAUACCCAUUUUAGUACGUAAGAGCGGCGUAAUCGGCACAUAGACAACACAAGAAAAAAAACGUGAAGAUGCGAUAUGUCAGGUUCGUAUCCGGUAACUAACUGAAAGACGUUAUAUGGUUAGGUUGCAAUGGGCCACAGAAGGACCAACAUGGUUGCGUGCAAUAUUGCACGGCCCCAAGCAGCGAUGGGGAGCUUGGUAUGUAUGAGCAAUGAUUAAGCAAUCAUUUGAAGAAGCUUAAUGAAAACUUUUGCAAGGUCAUUUUGGGUAUAAACAUAGGGUACUGAAUGUUCAACUUCAAUCCCAACUGACAUGCAAUAAUCAUCGAAAGUUUUCAAUGUGAAUUCUCCAACAUUAUUCAAUCCAAUAUAUUUAAUCGGAUAAUUAGAGUGGUGAGUCCUGAGCUUGAUAACCUGGGCCAACAAUUUGGAGAAAGCAGAGGUUCAUGUGGACAAAAAACACGUGUGGCUAACAUGUAGAAGAGUCAACCAAUACCAUAAAGUAUCUAAAUGGUAAGCAUGUUGGUUGAAUUGGUCCACAAAUAUUCCUCUAAAUCCUUCAUAGAAAAAUGGGAGGAUCCAAACAGAUCUUAUUAUAGGAAGGUUAAAUAAUGAGCUUACCUGUGGAGCAGGUUUGGCAUGUGAUGUCCUUCUGGAACUCCCCUAAUCUUCUGGUUGCCCAUGUGAAGAUUUGAGGAUACAACGCAUCAUAACUCGUCCAGGGUGUCCCCAAACAAUCAUGCCAAAGCAAAACUUCAUGUGCAAUCCCUGAGGUAGGGUCGGCCACAUUGUGGCUUUUUAUGGAGCGAAUGGUUGUAGUAUACAAGCCACUCGGGAAAUGCUCUAUCUACUAUAGAAUAUGCAUAUGGCCAUAUUCAUAAGAAGUGAUGCUCAGACAUUCAACUUCGUUUCUAUAGAGGUUCCAGCGUGAUAAUUAUUGUCACGAAUAUCUUUAAAGCUCAACAACGUUCUUUCGAAUUAUGGAAAAUAAAGUGCCUUUUUAAAGGUUAAUUCAGUCAUAUUGGACAAUAGCAUACAGGCCUGUCUGUAUCAUUCGAUCAAGUUGGAUGGACCUGAUAGGGUUGUCAGAGGUGCAUUCUUAGGUACAAAGUUAGUGAAAUAGGUGCGUUUACGCAAAACGUGUGUGUGGUUGCACUAUCUACCGUACAACUAACUUCCCUACUAAUCAUGCCUACAAAGAAAUUAAUUGAAUUGGUCUCAUGCAUAAAAGGUUCAAAAACAUAAUAAAACAUAAUAUCCAAAAUUAAAACAAACACUAACAAAUUAUCUAAACAUAAAGGAAAUUGUUCAAAACUUAAACAAACAAACAAAAAUAGGGUUCGGCCAACAUAAGGAAUUCACCCUAGGGGUUAAAAUGUGACUAGUAUAUGGGCCCAUGUCUAAGCAUCUAAUCUUCUAUCGGAACAUAUGCCUCCUGAAAGUAAAAAACCUUCAUCUUCUUAUCCUACGGUUCAUCCACUUGAGUAAAGUUUGAUUUAAACUUCUUACGAUGAGAAUGAUACUCGGCUAAGACCUUGGGAGGAGCUUAGCAAACACGGGACCAAUGGUCAUUCGAACCACAGCAGUAGCAUAUGUCUGCAUCCAUGGUGUUAGAUGCUUUGCCCUUAUUCUUGAAGUUCGAGGCCUUGGAAGCUAGGUUAGAAUGCUUCGGGGUUCAGUUUCCUUUCUUAGGUACGCCUUGGCUCUGUUGACCUUGGUAGGACGACUUCUGGCCGCGCCUACCAUGCCUAGAAUGGUGGUUCGGGCAUCGACUCUCGGUAUCGUGUGCUUCAGGCACAACGAUUGAGCUGGUAGGUCGAGCUUGAUGAUUCUUCAUUAACAGUUAAUUCUACUUUUCAGCAAAAGGUAAAACAAAGAUGAAAUCCAAAAACUUAGUGAACUUGUGAGCCCUAUAUUGUUGUUGUAGGACAAUAUUAGUCAUAGAGAAAGUCAAAUAGGUCUUCUCCAAGAGAUCUUCUUCGGUCAAGUCUUUGUCACAGAACUUGAGAAGUGAUCGGAUUUGACAAACUUCAUAAUUGUAUUCAUUCACGGACUUAGAGUCCUAAAGGGCAAAUGUUGUCAGUCGAAAUAAAUCAUGGUACUUCUUUUCAUUGAUCUUGGGUGUGCAGUUCAUUGAUUCCAGAGUUUCCACAUUUCAUUUAGCUUUUCAGCUAUCUAGUGUGUUAGAUGUGCAUUAUACAGGGUAAGAGCGUUUUGUUAAUGAGAUUUGUGGCAAUUGAAAUUUUCUCGAAUACCUAAUUUAUGCAAACUUUCUUAACAGGUAAUUGACGAUGUUGAUGAGAAUGAGACAAUAACUCCACUUUAUUUAUGAGUUUGAUACAAGUGAUGAUGAGGAAUCUGAGGAAGCCAUGGAAACCGAUCAAGAGAAUGAAGAGGAAGAGGAAUCCGAUAGCGCACUUGACUGUGUUAGUGAUUUUGAAGGAAUUGAGGACAUGAGUGAGUGAUGCAAAGUUUGAGAUUUAUUCUGGUUGUAUUCAGAGGUGGCUGAUAUUGCCGCUAACUUAUUACUAAUUGUACAAACCACAUGAGCACUCCAUAUGAAUGAAAUUUUGCUACAUGGUUGUCUAUCUUUCUAGUUUAAAAUCUCUGUUAAUGUAUUAUGAACAUGCAAUUUAGAAGGAAUAUAGAGAGAAGGGAGAGAUUGGUGAGGCUCGAAAUCCCAACUCGGGAAGGUGACGACUUUAACGAUUCUUGACAGAACCACUCCCUUGGUUCGGGGCUAUCCCGCCCUGCCUUUCGACUGAUAAUGAACACUAAGGGUGCCGAAGUGGUCCUGGUGUGGGAAUGCUAAGACCCUGCCUCGCAUAUGGGAAAGAGAUGGAAAGAUACGUGUUAUUCCUUGAUUUUAGCAAUCAUCGAGAUUUUGAUGAACCUUGAUUUUAGCAAUCAUCAAGAUUUUGAUGAACCUUUAUGUUCCAUGUGCACGAUCUGCGCAUGUUCUUUUUUAUAUUUUUAUGUUUAUAAAUCCAGAUAAGAAACUUGGUACAUCUCAAAUUAAAAAUUCCUACUUUUGUUCAAAUAUCAAAUUUAUUUCUCUCGUCCAAACGGAGGGUUAUAGUUUAGCCGCCCAACAGAAUGUUCCUUCCUUUAAUCGGCACAGAACAAAGCAUAUGAAAUCGCUAUCAGCAGUGGAACCCAUCUUCCAACUGUUGUGCUUGGAUAGCACCAAACCAAUUGGAACUAACUCAAUCUAACCCACAGGAAAUAUAUCAAAUGGAAUGCAAGAACAAAAUAUAAAAGACACCAAGAUUUUAACGAGGUUCCUCAGCAGUUAGUGUAACUGGAGUACGUCAUCGGAGCAGUAGAAUCUCAUCCAAUAGUCUACUAUCAACCAAAUGGGAGUUUACAAAGUGUUGGCAAUCUCACAACCUAAACCCCAAUACACCCAAAAGCUCUCACUCACCAAAGAAACAAAUAGAUAAGAAAAUGUAGUGAAUAAUUUCCUCUCUAUACAAAGCUCAAAUCUAAUACACAAAUACAACUUUGAUUGAGUGAGUACUAACAAAGAAAGAAAAUCACCUUUCUUUCUUCUCUUCAAAAUAGGGGCUGCGACACCUCUCUUUUCUUUUUUGCUCUCUGUUUUCUGCUCAGCAGCUGCCCUAAUUAAAAACCUAGCCACUCUCGUGGCUUUCCACAUGGGCCAAAUAAAAAGGCCCUUUAAAUGGGCUAUUGGGCUUACAUAUAAAGGCCCCUAGAAUUUGGCCAUAUAUUCAACAAUCUCCACCUUGGUCAAAUUCUCGAAAGUGCCAUGACGAGCCAAACCAACAUAAUCAACAAUCAACACAAAACCAUUCCUGAAAAUAGCAAGAGAACAACUCAUGCUGAGCCAAAAUGCUCCAAAGCUCCUACUGCUCAACGCCUUCCUUAUAUAGGCAAAAUGUGAGCCAAGUUCAAGCAAUGAACAAACUUGGCUACACCAACAACCUUAGUCAACAUAUUAGCGGGGUUGUCUUUAAGUUGGAAUCUUUUGAAGAAUGAUAUCCCUUUCACCAACAACUUCACGAACAAAGUGAUAACACACAUCUAUGUGCUUGGUCCUUGCAUGAUGAACUUGAUACUUAGCCAAAUAAAUGGCACUCUGACUAUCACAAUGCAACUCCACCUGCUUCUGAUCAACCCCCAAAUCUUUAAUAAGUCCAUGUAUCCAAAUGGCCUCCUUUAUAGCUUUGGCAAUAGCCAUAUAUUCAGCUUCUGUAGUGGACAAGGUAACAGAAGAUUGGAAAAUGGACCUCUAACAAACUAGCCCUUUAGCCAUAGUAAACACAUAGCCUGUAGUAGACUUCCUUUUAUCCAAAUCACCUGCAUAAUCUGAAUUAACAUAACCAACUACAAAGUGACCAAUACCAGAGUCAUCCCUCUCAAAGCAUAAACCAAUAUCUCGAGUACCAUGGAGAUACCUCAAUAUCCACUUAGUUGUAUGCCAAUGCUCUUUACCAGGAUUAUGCAUAUAUCGACUCACCAUACCAACUGCAUGAGCAAUAUCUGGUCUAGAGCAUACCAUUGCGUACAUCAAACUACCAACCAAAUUUGCAUAUGGUAUAUUUUUCAUUUGCAGUUUUUCUUUAUCAGUUUUAGGACAUUGUAGAGAACUCAAUUUAAAAUGAGGAGCCAAAAGGGUACUAACCGGUUUGGUUGAACUCCAAACUUCCGAAUCAAUUUCUCAAGGUAUUGUCUUUGAUUCAAGCAUACCAAACUUUUCUCUCUAUCUCUAAUGAUCUCUAUACCAAGGAUCUUCUUCGCUUCACCAAGAUCCUUCAUCUCGAACUCGUUCUUCAUUUGCUUCUUCAAUUUUUCAAUCUCUUCGACAUUCUUUGAGGCAAUCAACAUAUAUCAACAAAUAAACGAAAGACCUAUCUUGCAACUUCUUGAAGUACACACAAUGAUCAUAUUGACUUCUAGAAUAAUUUUGGCCUCUCAUAAAUUUAUCAAACCUCAAAUACCAUUGUCUUGGAGAUUGCUUCAAGCCAUAAGGUGAUUUCUUCAACUUGCAAAACAAAUUCUCUUUCCCUUUCACUUUAUACCCAUCCGGUUGACACAUAUAGAUCUCUUCAUUCAAAUCACCAUGUAGGAAAGCCGUCUUCACAUCGAGUUGCACAAGCUCAAGAUCAUAUUGUGCAACAAGAGCUAACAUAAUGCGUUGACGAGUGUUUCACAACCGGAGAAAAGAUUUCAUUGUAGUCAAUGCCCUCCUUUUGUGCAUACCCUUUAGCGACUAAUCUUCCUUUGAAUUUCACAUUGCUUUUCUCAUCAACACCUUCCUUCUUGGCAUACACCCAUUUGCAACCGAUAGCUUUCUUACCCUUAGGCAAUUUAGCUAACUCCCAAGUCUUGUUCUUCAAGAGAGAAUUCAUCUCAUCACCCCAUGGUAUUGCAUCAUUUCUCCUUUUCUUCACUCUCAAUAGCUUCCUCAAAAUUGGAUGGAAUCUCAUCAGUGAUAAUAGGAAGAGAAAAAGAAACAUAAUCACUAUACCGAGCUGGCUUGGUAAUAUUUCUCUUUCCUCUGUUCUUGGCAAUAGAAUCGUGAGGUGAAACUUGCUCUUCAUCUUGAAAAGAGUCUUCAACUUCAACUUCUUCAACAUCCUCUUGGUCUCCCACUUCUUCAUUUGUAGUGGCUUCAACAUCAGUGGAAAUAGGAUUUUAAGUACUACAAGCAAUUUUCUUAAAGUCUUUGAACAUCAGUGGCUUCAACACCAAUGGCUUCAACACUUGUUGGACAUCUUUCACAUUCUUCUCAGAUUCUUUGAACCUACUUUCUUCAUCAAAUGUCACAUCUCUAUUGAUUACAAGUUUCUUCAUCUCUGAGCACCACAACCUGUAACCUUUAACACCACUACUAAAACCAAGAAAGAUAGCUUUUUUGGCUCUAGGAUCAAGUUUAUUUUUAGUUACAUGAAAAUAAGCAGGUGAACCAAAAAUACGAAUAGAAUCAUAAUCAGUAGAAGGUUUUCCAGUCCAUACCUCAUUGGUGUCUUACCUUGAACAGCAGCUGAGGGUAACCUGUUGAUGAUGUGACAUGCAUAAUUAACUGCUUCUGCCCAAAAUGACUUGCUUAAACCCGACUGAGACAACAUACAUCUAACCUUCUCAAGCAAGGUUCGAUUCAAUCUUUCUGCAACUCCAUUUUGUUGUGGAGUUCCCCGGACACUGAAAUGUCUCACAAUCCCUUCCUCUUUGCAAGGGUCAGAUGUGUAUUCACCAUCAUUAUCCGAUCUCAAAAUCUUAAUCUUUCUCCCAGUAUGGUUCUCAACCAUUUUCUUCCAACUCAAGAAAAUGCUCAACACCUCAUUCUUGUGCUUCAUAGUGUAGACCCAAGACCUUCUAGAAUAAUCAUCAACAAAGGUCACAAACCAAUGUCUACCACUCAAAGAGGGAGUCUAUGUAGGACCCCAAACAUCCAAAUUUACAUAAUCAAGAAUGUCUUUCGUCUGAUGUAUUGUAGUACCAAAUUUCACUCUAGUUUGCUUCCCCAAGGUAAAAUGCUCGCAGAAAUCAAGCUUACAAGUCGUGGCACCUUUUAGAAGACCUUGUUUCACAAGCCCUUGUAAAGCUCUCUCACCGACAUGGCCUAAUCUCAUAUGCCACAAUCUAGUAGUAUCUGAAUAAGAUGUGCCCAUAUUUCUGAGACUACAGAAGCUUCACCUGUCACGGUGCUUCCUUGUAAUAGAUACAAAUGAUCACAUCGAGGAGCUUUCAUCACAACAAGUGCACCAUAAGUAACUUUCAAUGUCUACCCAUCUGAAUGAAACCUGAAGCCCUUAGAUUCUAAAGUGCCCAAAGAAAUAAGAUUUUUCUUCAAAUUCGGUACAUAUCGAACACCUGUCAACUCUUUAACCAUGCUAUCAUGCAACUUCAAACGAACUGUAUCAACCCUUUUUGUUGUGCAAGGAUUGUCAUCUCCCAUGAAAACAACACCACCAUCAAACUCUUUCAAGCUUGAAAACCAAUCCUUGUGAGGAGUCAUAUGAUGAGUACAACACGUAUCCAAUACCCACUUAGUAGCACAAUAAAAUGAUGAGGAAACGGUUAAAGCAAAAUCAGAAAAAUCAUUUUCAAGCUCACUUUGCCUUUGGUCUCCAACCUAGGACAAUCUUUCUUCCAAUGACCUUUAUUAUGACAAAAAACACAUUCAUCCCUUUCCAAACUUUUUCUACCUUUAGAAUUUCCUCUAGGUCGAGACUGUGAUUUUUUCUUACUAGAGAAGGAUCUCAUUUCCGAUAAUCUACCUCUAACAAAUAAGGCUUCAGAGGUACUAUCAUAAUUUUUAUCUCUAUGCCUUAUUUCAUAAUUCAUCAAGGCAUUCGACACAUCUUCAAAUUUCACAGUUUCUUUCCCAUGCAUAAUAGUGUUAACAAAAUGCUCAUAAGAGUCCGGCAAAGAAUUCAACAAUAUUAAAGCCUUUUCUUCAUCCUUAAUAUCCUCAUCUAAAUUCAUCAAAUCGGCAAUCAAUUUAUUAAAAGCAUCAAGGUGUCUAAUCAUUUUUGUACCUUCUUUAUAUUGGAAGCAGUAGAGCUUUUUCUUCAAGUGUAGCCGGUUCUCUGCACUCUUCGUCAUGUAUUUGUCUUCUAAUUUUUGCCACAACAUAUUUGCCAAUGUCUCCCAUAUCACAAAAUAUUUCUGAGUUUUUGCAAGGCACAACCAAAUUGUGGAGCAAGCCCACAAAUUUAAUUUUUCUCAUUCCGACUUCGACAUAGCUUCCAGCUUAUCUCCCAAAGUGGCAAGUAGAUCUUGUUGAGCCAACAUAUCCUUGACCUCAUAUUGCCACAUCCCGAAGUUGUUUGUGCCAUCAAAUUUUUCCACUUCAAACUUCGCAUUUUGCACUGUAGUUCUUGCAAACCUGGAGCUGUUUCCAAAAGGAUUCUCAUCUUGUCCGUCUGACAUCUUUAGCAACUAAAUGGUAUCCAAGAGCAACUAGUGCUCUGAUACCAAUUGUUGUGCUAGGAUAGCACCAAACCAAUUGGAACCAACUUAAUCUAAUCCACAGGAAAUAUAUCAAAUGGAAUGCAAGAACAAAAUAAAAAAGACACCAAGAUUUUAACGAGAUUCCUCAACAGUCAGUGUAACUGGAGUACGUCCUCGGAGCAGUAGGAGCUCACCCAAUAGUCCACUAUCAACCAAAUGGGUGUUUACAAAUUGUUGGCAAUCUCACAACCCAAACCCUAAUACACCCAAAAGCUCUCACUCACCAAAGAAACAAAUAGAUAAGGAAAUAUAGUGAAUAAUUUCCUCUCUAUACAAAGCUCAAAGCUAAUAUACAAAUACAACUUUGAUUGAGUGAGUACUAACAAAGAAAGAAAAUCAUCUUUCUUUCUUCUCUUCAAAAUGGGGGCUGCAUCACCUCUCAUUUCUUUUCUGCUCAGAAACAAAAGGGCAGCAGCUGCCCUAAUUAAAAACCUAGCCACUCCCGUGGCUUUCCACAUGGGCCAAUGGGCCAAAUAAAAAGGCCCUUUAAAUGGACUGUUGGGCUUACAUAUAAAGACCCCUAGAAUUUGGCCAUAUAUUCAACACCAACCAUGCAUUGAAUUGAGCACCUUGGGGCAUCUGGGGUAUAGAGAGGUUUACCCGAAAGUCGCCUUGCACGGUUGGAAGAUUGUUGGUUGGACGUCAAUGUGUGCUUUUGUUCUUGACGUUGCAAUGCAGGGAAAGCGAACAUUUAACGUAACCUAAUUCUAAUUCGUUUUCUCGUCCACUCUCACCACUUGGGCUAAAGAACUAUCAAACGUUCGUCGCCUGCUUCAAAAGUUGUCGAAGCAAAAUUCAAACUUGGAAAGUUGGCUGCUUAACAACUGCCGAAUGAAAAACUCGGAAUGGUGGCUCCAUAUCAUGAGAUGCAAGUCAAUGCACGAUUUCGGUAGAAGAAGAUUACGACAUAUGUUAGUGCUAUAUUCACGUGGGGGUCCAAAGGCUGCGUUGGUAGUAGUGUGCAGAAAGGGCAGGACUCCGAAUCUCUGAGGCCCUCAAAAUUUUUAUCUUCCUAUAUAUUACUAAAUUUUCUAAUAAAAAUAUUUUGGACUAAAACAAAAAUCAUUAUCAUAUGAUUUUAUCCAUAUUACAAUUGAGUAAGUGGAGUCUACAACUAAUAUAUUUAUUUCAUUUUUCUGUAGCAAUGCUAAAAACUUAUGUAUUGUCUUAUUUUCUCUAGCAAUAAAAAACUAACUUGUAUAUUACUUUUUGUAUUAUCUCUCUUUCAUUCGUGCUCCAUUUGUUCAUGGAUAAACCCUAAAUCAUAAUUUCAUGGCAAUUGGAGAUUAUUCAAUUAGUAAGAGUGAGAUGUUGAUUUCAAUUAAGUUUGAAUAUUGAUUGUUGAGGUUUGUAUGAAUAUAUUGUUCAAAAGAUUAUUAUUUUUUAAAUAAGGAUGAUCUUUUAUUAAAUUCGCACAGGGGCCUAAAAGAGUAAAUUGUAGCUAUGGUCCCUUAACUUUAACUCAAUUGGAGCAAUGGUCCCUCAACUAAAAAUCCAUUACCAUUGGUCCCUCAACUCAUCAAAACGUGCAGUUAUGGUCCCUCAACUAAAAAUUCAUUACCAUUGGUUUCUCAACUUUAAUUCAACUGGAGAAAUAGUCACUUAACUUUAACCCAAUUGUAGUAAUGGUCCUUUCAACAUAACUCGUUUUGACAAAAAAUUUGACGUAGUUAACGAAAUGACCAUAAUUACACACUUUGAUGAGUUGAGGGAUCCUAAUUAUAUAAGUACCCUUAUCUAUGAAUUUAUGUACAUCAGUUUAAAUUUAUGUACCCUUGUGCCACAUGCUCUGAAUGUCUAUGAAUUUCAACACAUUCAAAAUAUAUCUGUUCAAAGUAUUAUCCCAAUCGGAAAACGGAAGCUACGCAUAAGAGUUUAACUAAUCUUGAAACUUUUCGCUGUUAUUAAAUUGAUUUUGGGCUGAAUACUCUCCAAUUCUAACGAUAUAGCAAAUUGAACCGAUUGGUCAAGCUCAAAAAGCAAAAAGGGAAUAAGAAAAGAAGGAAGGUAUGAUUGAAACAUAACACACGAAGCACAAUGUAUGGACAUAAACAGACAGGGACGAAGCCAGAACUUUGUGUGAAUGGGGGCAUCCUCAAACAACAAAGUCAUAAUUAAAAAGCUCAAGAAUUUACUAAACACAAUACUUAUAUAUUAAUCCAAAAAGUUUUUCAUACAACAGUCCCUUACAAUAUGCCUCGACGCGUUUUCAUGUUCUGAAAGCGUUGCAUGACAACAUCAUUACCAAUACCAUCAAAUAUCUCUCUCUCUAUAAAAAUAACCAUGUUAUCAUUCAUCCAUUGAUCUCCCAUUCGAUUUCUCAAUCGAUUCUUCAGAAUUUUCAUGGCCGAAAAUGCUCUUUCAACGGUUGCAGUAGCAACUGGAAGAGUUAGUGCUAAUGUCACAAGCAAGUAAACCAGCGAAUACACCUUGUGUUUUUUGCAUUGAACCAUUUUUUUUGCAAGAUCUCCAAUCUCUUUUAAACCUGAAAACUCAAUGCUAGACCGCAUAUCCAUAAUGUAAGUCUCAAGUUGAAUCUUAAGUAUCACCAGCUCAUUCAUAGAGAAGUCUUUAGGAUAAAACUGGGCAAGACGCAAUAGCUUUUGGCUAUCAAAAGCAGAGAAAGAGUCGGUUGGACAUAAACAUGCCAAACAAAGAAGUAACUCAGUGUUGGUCUCAUUGAAACGAUUAUUUAGUUCUUGAAGCUGCCAAUCCAAAACAACAUAAAAUAUCCCAACACAAUAAUGAUGCAUAUUUGUGACUGCUUGUGCUUUUCGUUGCCCUCGCCUUCGAGAAAGAAACAUAUCAUCCAUAUUAGGCACAUCAAUAUCAUGUUUAAGACAAAAUUCUGAGACUUCACUAAGUAAAGAAUCCCAACCACUUUUCCUCAUUAUCUCCAACCUUUGCUUACAAACUCCAACCAACUUCAUUGCAUUUACAAUAUCCUGAUCCUUCCUUUGCAAUGCUUGUGACAAUUCAUUGGUUAUUCCUAGUAUAUCUUUCAUCAAGUGUAGAUUAAACACAAAAUUAAAUGAUUGCAUGGAAUCCAAUAAAUUAUUCACUUCACAUCUUUGUUGAGAGCUUACUCCAUCAUCUGCUAUUACUUCAAGUACAUCAAGUAUGGAUGAAAACAUAGUCAUGAUACUUACUAAAGUACCAAAGUGUGAACCCCAAUGUGUUUCUCCAGCACGUUUCAAAGUAGUUUCUUGAUUUUUGCCUUUCCCACUUGUAAACUCACCACUGUUAAGUGCUUCAAUAACUGCAAUAGAUUGCUUCUCUCGAAGAAGAUCACAACGCUUCGAUGAAGCUCCAACAACAUUUACCAAAAUAGUAACUAUACUAAAAAGAGACUCAAUUUGGAUGUUCUUCUUUGCCACAGCUACAAGAGCUAAUUGACGUUGAUGUGCAAAGCAAUGAAUAUAAUAGGCACAACCACUGUCUUUCAUAAUAAGAGCUUUAAUACCAUUGAACUCACCUUGCAUAUUGCUGGCCCCAUCGUAACCUUGCCCACGCAACCUAGACAUGCUCAAUUUAUGCCUAGAAAAUACCUCAUCAAUGGUUUCCUUGAGUGAAAGAGCAGCAGUACUAGUAACAUGCUCAAUGCCAAUAAAACGCUCAACGACAUGCCCAUUCUUGUCCACAUAGCGCAAUACAAUAGCCAUUUGUUCCUUCGUUGAUACGUCGCGAGAUUCAUCAAUCAAAAUAGAGAACAGCGAAGUGCCAAUGUCUUUAAUAAUAGUCUUGAUGGUCUCAGUUGCACAAGCAUUUACAAUGUCUUUUUGAAUAUCUGGUGAUGUCAAUUUGUGAUUCUCCGGAGCAUUUUUCAAAGUAACGGCUUUCACAUCCUCAUUGUGGUCGGCAAGAAACUGUAGAAGCUCAAGAAAGUUUCCAUGGUUGAUUGAAUGUUCAGAUUCAUUAUUACCACGAAAUGCAAGCCCUUGUCUCAAAAGAAAUCGACAACAAUCAAUUGAUGCAUUCAACCGAGCUCUAUAUUGAAUUCGAGCUUCAUCAUGAGUUUUAGAGAAAAAAGAUUAGAUAUGUUGCUUUUGACUCCUUAAAGCUUCAAAAUUACUCCAUGCUUGAUUGUGUGCACUAUUGACGCCUCCAAUAUGAGUUAGAAGUCUUUCUUUCUUCUUCCAGUUAGAAAAUCCUUCUCCAACAAAGAAAUCACCACCUGCUUGUUCUCCAAUGUUUGGUUUAAAAAGGUAGCAACACAGACAAAAGGCAGCAUCUUUUUCUACACUAUAUUCCAACCAAGUAGGAAAAUCAUCAAACCAAGCAGGGUUGAAUCGUCUUUGCGUGUCUCCAUAUUUCUUGUAAGGAAAAUUAUGGGUUUUAGGUUGUUGAGGACCAGCUAGCACAUACGCUCUUCGUACUUGAUCGAAUAUUAGGAUUGUAAUCCAAAAUUCGAAUUCGCUUACCAGGAUCUGAUGGAAGAUUUGAUAAAAUAAAUUAUGUACUAUCUUGUCCCCAAGUAUCAUCAUUUUUCUCAAUAACUGGGGAUGGCGGCACUGAUAUUUUUUUGAAAAACCUCUCCAUGAUGUUUUAGUCUGCAAAGUCAAUCAUAUUGAUACCAAUAACAUAUAAGGUUCAUACAUAAUUUGUAGAAUUUAUAGAAUAAAAAUCUCAAUAAAAUUCUUAGACUCUUAAUCCUAGAGUAUACCACAUAACUAAUCCAUAUCCAACCUAGGCAACAAUUCAAUUAACCAAUAUGGCAAUACCAAUAAGCAUACAAAUUCUUCAACAAAUAAACAUUUAAUUCAACUAAUCAUAUGAAUAAAUGUAUACCCAUAUUCAUAGAAUUCGUAAUUUCAUAAUUUCAUUCAUCAAUAAUCAUAGAAUUCAUAUCAAUAAUCAAUAACCAAUUACCAUAUGAUUCUAUAUUUCUAUACCAAUUAAACAAAAAUUUGUCUUAAAUAAUUAAUUAGGGUUAGGGAUUAUAGAUUUAGGAAUUAAGAAUUUUACCAUAAAUAUAUAUAUGUCGGCUAGAGAGUAGCUGGCUGCAGUGGCUGACUGUUGGCGUGGCUGGGAAUAGCACCUUGCUCCUCCUGUUCCGUUCAGUUUCAAGAUGUUGGGAAUUUGGGGAAAGAGAGCAGCACCACGCUGCUCUCUAUUUGGGAAGGGAAAUAAAAAGGAACAGAGAGAUGGGAAGGAAUCAGGGAAUGGGUUAGGGAUUAAAGGGGGGACCUCUUGUCCCCACGCCACAGUCCACCUUUAACAUACUUUUUUUUUUUUUGUUAACAUAUACGAAACGACGCCGUUUCGUUUAUUUUUUUUUGUACCAGGACCAAAACGACGUCGUUUUGGCCUAGAUUUUAAAAAAAAAUAUAUAAGACCCAGCUCUGCUUCUGCAGAACCAGGUCGGAGAGCAGAACUAGAUCAGUUCAGUGGGGGCUCUGCUGCUGCAAACCCAGCUCAAUUUGAGCAGCAUCCCAGCGUCAGAAAAAUCUCAGUGGGGGCAUCCGCCCCCCUAGGCCCAUGGUAGCUCCGUCCCUGUAAACAGAACAAGGUAUGGAUAGAUAUUGGGCAGAUUUUAGACCUCAAAGUAUAAGUGGUUAAGUUGGAGAAGCCAUAUUUUAGUGUUAAUGCGAAAGCAAGUUGAGUAACAGAUCAAAAUUUGGUUGGGAGGAUGUGAUUAUUCUGUUUUGUCAAAUAAUUAAUUCUGAAAGGUCGAGUUAUUUCAACAUUACUGAAAGGAACAAAUAAAGAUUUCAUAACUUCAGCUCACCAAAAAAUAUUGAUCGAAAAUGUGGAAACUUGUCUUGGAUAGGACAAGUCUUUUGGCUCGAGAGAAACUUACCUAUAAUCAAAUAAAAGCCCUUGGUUUAGACGUCACAUGGUGAAGGCUGUUGGGCCAAAACACAGUCGUCGGGUAUGAUCAUACAAUAAAAACUCUCAUGAUUGAUAUGUGUCAAACUCUCAUGAUUGAUAUGUGUCGCAUAUCCUUUUUUCUCUAUCUCUCUCAUCAAAUGACUAUUGACAUAUAAGGUCUGGUAUGAUUUUUAACAACUUUUCUGCCAAAUUUCUCAGUGAACUCAAAUUCCCAAAAGCAAAUUUGAUAUCAACAAGAUUGCAACAAGUAAUGACAAAGAAAAUAGAGAUUUCAAAUUGUAAAUUUUAUUAGGUAAAAUAGGUAUAGUCACACAAACUAAUUAACCAGCAAUGCAAUCAAACUUAUGGACACAGAUGAAGUUGAAUGGACUGGAAUGCAGCACUCAAGCCGAAACAAAAAUUCUAACAGAUAGGAAGAGGUGCGCCGUUCCAACCCUCGAGGCAACCUAGAAUCGGGUCGAUAAUCUUUCCCUGGCAGAUAGCUUGGAACACCUUGUCACACUCCUCGCCCGGUGACCUGACCUUCUCCCCGGUCAGGUACUCUCCUCCCAACUCCUCCCUCACAAAUUUGUACAAGGGAUAAGACCUGCAUUCCGCAAUCCUGUUUGGAACUGCAGCGUUUCCGCUCUCA